This 80522-nucleotide long non-coding RNA is filed under the name Populus trichocarpa (black cottonwood). RNAcentral describes it as "long non-coding RNA (PTRI_LNC003686)". The record is from RNAcentral. Lineage: Eukaryota; Viridiplantae; Streptophyta; Magnoliopsida; Malpighiales; Salicaceae.
AGAACAAGUGAUGUUUGUUUUUGUAUUUUAGAGUAGUUAAUACUCUAAAAUAUAUGCAAGCUAUUAAGAAAUAAUAAGGUUUUGAACCUCUUACUUAGAUGGUUCAACGAGUAUUUAUACCCCUUGAACUUUAUCGUUUUUAGAAAAGGUAAGGACUUAAAAACCCUUGCUCUCGGUGGCAUUAAUAAGAAACAAAUAUCAUUUACAUAUUAUUAUUAAGAUAGUAAGUGUGGUAUGUCCCUUAAGAUAUCUUUUGUACAUCUAUAAGUGUAAGGAGAUCAUUACCUCAUAUAUAAAUAAUUUAUGUAAUUGUUCUAAAAGUAGGAUUCCUUAGUCUUAGAUACUCAAGACUUGAGAUGUAACUCAACCUAGGUUAAAAGACAUGACAGUUUAUCAAACUCAUAACACUUUCAGUCUAGGUAUUCAUCUAGGACUUGGUAUAUUGCCUUGAGUUUAGUUGAUUGAUGAACCCAAGAAUAUUGGAUUUGACAUUUUAUCAGAUCCAUAUUUCAUUGGGUUCAACUAACGAUUGAACCCAAGUAUGUUGGGUCUAAUAUCUUACCAGACCCAUGUUUUCUUGGCAACUAACAGUUGAACCCAAGUAUGAUGGGUCCGACAUCUCGCCAAACCUAUGUUUCCUUGGGUUCAACUGAUAGUUGAACCCAAGUAUGUUGGGUCUGACAUUUUGUCAAGCACAUGUUUUAUUGGGUUUGACUAAUCAUUGAACCCAAGUGUUUUGGGUUUAUCAUAACGUUAGACCCAUGUUCUUUUGGGUUUAGUAGAUUGCUAAACUCCAAUGUAUUGGGUUUGUCAUUUCGCCAGGCCUAUAUUGUUUUGGAUGUAAUACGUCAUCAAACCCAAUUUACAUUGCAUUCAGUUGAUUACUGAACCCAAUUAUUUGGGGGUCUUGUGGUCUUGCAUAUCGUCAAACCCACCUUGUUAUAGACUUUUUCAAGUCUAAAAAAGAUACAUAAAAAAUAAUUACCUUAUCAGUUGCCCUCCAAGCCUUUAAUGUGUAUCACACAUAAAGGCUUAAAAGGUGUUUUGAGAGACUAUAAGUCAGGAUACAUCUUGUCUUCCUUUGGGAAGAGACAUUUAAGCCUUGGUGAUUUGAAAUGAUUUAAAAGGGAAGAGGAAGCUAACAUCUUAGGAAUAUCACUUGAUGGUGUGCAAUGAAUGUUUACUGGCUUUUAACCUUUCUAUAGUUAUGAUGAGAUGUCAUCUGUCCUUUAUUUAUUGUCGGAGAAGGAGGGUUGCUCGUAUAUAAAAACCUUCAUUAACUUUAAAUUAUGAUUUUUACUUCUACUAAAAAAUUUCUCUGUUUCCUUAACUUAGAAGGUUCAAGACACAAGAACAAGAUAUUUUUAUCAUAUAUGAAUUUUUCUUGUUUAGGUAAACCAAAUCUCCAUCUUCUUCUUUUCUUGUAUGAUUUUUGUUUUGGUUUUUCUAUUUUUCUUUAAAAUAUUCAGAAUGACUUCUAGAAAAAAAAAAGAAGGAAGUAUCCCCUAAGGGGGAUUUUACCUUAAUGUUAGAAAAUAACAGUGCUCGCCAGAGAUCAUUGGCCAUUAGGAUUGGCCCACGGUCUAGAAUCGAUGCUUCUCCACCUUCCCCCUCUAGAAGGAUGGAAGACAGAAGUCCUCAAGAGGUUGCAAGCCUUAAAGGGAAAGAACGUGUGCCCAAGACUCCCACUACUAAUGUUCAGAGCUUGGUAACUCUAAACCAAAUGGAUGAGGCCAAUCUCCAACAACCAGGAGAUUAUGUGGUCUCGUUACCAAAACAUGGUGACCGUGUUUCGAAGGUCACCAAUAAGCACAGUGGAGGAAAUAUAUUUUUUUAUAACUCUCAUUUGCAUGUAUGAGUUUGGGUACUCGUUUCCUUUACAAGGUUUUAUAAAGGAAGUGUUCACAUAUUACAAUCAGAGUCCAACUCAGCUCCACCCUAUUGGGUGGACCAUUCUAUCUGCAUUCAAUAAAUUCCUAAAAAUGUUGGAUGAGGAACCCAUAGUCAAGGUUUUUAGGCAAUGUCGCACCCUGAUUAAAAGCGUUGAAAGGGGGCCUUUCUUUCCGUUGGUUCUUUAACUUUGCCAAUAAGCCAAAUGGGCCUAUAUAAGCGACUUUCAAAGAAACGUCAUCCCACUCGAAGAACAAAAAAGGACAUUGGGUGGCGGUAAGUUAUCAUGGGACGGUAAAGCCGCAAGACGGUACAGUGUCACUUGGGGUUGUACAUAUUAUUAGAGAGCACCUUCAGCGGGUAUGAAUGAUAGGUGUCAUAACUUGAUUUUUUACUCUUUUUUUCUUUCUUGUUUAAAAAAUAUCCAAAAAGUAUCAAAAUAACAACAAAUAUAUACAUUAUGUGUUUGCGUUGUUUUUUUUAGCAUUUGUAGCGUCUUUUCAAAAAAAUUAAAAAUUAAAAAAUUUACUUUUGACGCAUUUGAUUUUUAACGCACUCAUUUCAAAAUUAUUAAUCAAUUUUAUUGAGUUGAAGUUGUCUUUUUUAAAAAAUAUUACAAUAAAAAAAAACAAAAACAAAAAAUAUUUGGAUAAGGAAACCAAAAAUGCAAAGGAAAAAAAUAAGGGACUAAAGUGAAUUUUUUUAGUUACUUGAAGACCAAACAAUUGGGGAGAAAAUGAUAAAUUAUUUUGCCUAUAAAUAAGUGGUUGUACCACACACAAGAAAAGGAGGAAUUUUAGGGAGGCCAUUAAUAAAUAAAAAAAACUAAAAGAAAAUACAAAAAAAAUUACUCUCUCCAACUCACAUACUCUCCCAAAAAUAAUACAUAAAAAACCCUAGACCUAUUAUUUCUAAACCCAGUCGCCAACCACUGUCAUACCUUCUCUCCAGCAAUAACCAACAUAAAAAAAUAAGCUCAAUAGCCACUAGCACAAUAGCAUAUUUUCCCCUCCCCAAAUCCACGUCAAUCAUCUCACAAUCUCAGCUCCCCACAAAGGCCCAUUUUCUUCUCAUUUUCCAGCAUCCUCCCUCAACUUUCUCUCAUUCUCUCCACAAUAUCAACACAACCCCUCUUCUUCACUAUUAAAGCUCACCACUCAACAACUCCUCCAUUUUCAGUCGAGAUGAAUAAUGUCACCUUUAAGCACAAGCCAAAAAACAACCAUCUUCCCCAAAAAUUUUCUUGAGCUCCACUAUACCAACCAUCAAAACCAAAGAACCACCACCUCAGUCGAGAGUUCAAUCUCUCCUCCCCACCAAUAGUCCCUACAUUAGUGACCACAAUGCUAGCUUCUCUUUACCGUAACCCAGCCACGUACCAUCAAUCAUACAAGUUCAGCAUCACCGACUAUUAUACCUAGUUAUAGACCGCAGCCUUUUCUUUAGUUCCAUCAUCAAUCGUGAUUUCUCUUCCUAAAAAACACACACAACUAUGACCCUCAACCACCCAUCUCGGCCCAAACCAUAACCACGACCAACAUCUUCUCUUCCUCCGUUUCCCAUGUUGCCUUCUCUUAUUCUUCCUCAGCCACUAUGAAUUACAACAGCUCCAACAACCACUUACAACUCUAGUAAACACUUUUCGACCUAAUCUCAAAUUAUUUUUUGGACAAAUUGUUAUAAUGUUGUGAAAUUUGAGAUAAAAUGCUUUAUUGUUUAUAAUUUUUGGAUUGUUUAGACUCUAAUAAUUUGGUUUGUUACAAGCACUCACCAAACUCUAGUUAGCCACCAACAACUACUCUUGAAGGAUUUUUUUUAUCAGCAAAUAACCUUAUCUAAUAUUGAUUUAAGAGCCAUCUAAUUGGAGAUUGAAAACACAACAAAUAUGAUGCGCCACAAUAACACUUUAGUAGUUAAUAAAACCAUGCAGGUCAUGGUUGACCUGUUAGUAUAUAUGCCCUAUAACAUUGAAUUUGUUCAAUGUAAACUUAUUUAAUUAUUAAUAAAGACUAAUUUAUCUUUAACAUUCAUCAAAUAUUUGAUUUAUAAAUCUAAUAUUUAAUUAAUAAAUCUAAAGUAAAGAUAAAGUUCUAGAAAUAAAAAUGCUUUGCAAAGGAAAUUAUAAAGUUUUUAUAAUUAAGAGAUUUAUAUUGAAUCAAAACAUUGUUCCUAAAUGUUCCUGAUUAAUGUUCUAUUAAGACUAAACAUUAAUUAGAGUCAUUGAGACUUGUACAUAUUAUGUUAUUUUCUUUUGUAAAAUGAAACAAUUAUUCUCAUAAGCUAAGAUAUGAAGUAUACCUAAAACUAAUAUGUAGGUUCUUGUCAUAUCAUAUGUACAUUAAACUAACCCGCAUGAGAAUUUCAUAUAAGGAGAUCAUUUAUAUCUAUGAAAAGGCUCAUGUGAUGGUUGUGUAAGUGAUGCUUAAACUUGAAAUCACUAAGUUAAUUUAUAUAGAAAAUGUUAUAUUUUAAUCAUGUUAUAUGUUGUCCUAAUCAAAGGUAACAAACAGGUAGAUAUUGAGUAUAACAUGAACAAGAUGAAGACAUUUAAGUAAUUAAUAUAAGAUUCAUCACCCUAGAUGAAUUAAGAAAAAUGUUCUAUCUAUUCUCAAAUAGUAUUGAUUAUAAAUCAUUGCGCAAGGUGGAAUGAUAAUUGAAAAGAUUUUCAAAUCUUAUUCAAAUAAUCAAUGACUAUGAUGUUGAGAAUAAACAUGAUUUGAUAAAAUAGACACACUUUAUGCUAUAACAUUCAUUGUUGAUAAAGAGAUAAUAAUUACAGUAAGAAAUUGAUCAUUAAAAGGUUAAGUCAAAUUAUUUAUGACUUUUCUAAAAUUUAAGGAGGUUGCAAGAAAUUAUAUUUGAUAUUCAAAUAUAAAUCAAUUAAUUAUUGAAUCGAUAAUAAAUUAUUUUAUUUUAUUUUAUUUUAUUUUAUUUAGGAUUGCGAUUUAUAUUUAAGUCAACCUAUUAAGGAACUUAAUGGGUCACACACAUAAGAACCGUUAGUUAAAAAUUAAAUUGGGAUGAUUAAUCAAGUGUGACCUGAUUGUAAAUAAAUUUUAAAAAUGAAGGAUUAUAAUUUAAUUUAUACAAGGAAUUACAAUUCUAGACCUUGAAAAAAUCAUGUAAGGAUUUGAUUUAAUAAAUUUUUAAAAAUUAUCCUAAAAUAAUAUAUGUGAUAUUAUUCAGGCGGCAAAUUAAUAUUUUGCUAUUUAUAGUGUUUUCAGAUUUUUCUAUAAAUAGAAUGUUAUAUCUCUUAUUUUCUAUAUAGUAAAUAGUAUGUAGUACAAUAUAGAAUAUCUAAAAAACACAAAAGAAAAGAGAUAGCACUCAAAGGUAUAAUAAUACCUCUCUCCUAAAAGAUUUAGAAGACUUCUCACUAGUGGUUUGUGUGAAUUACUGUUAGAGACCGGACAUUUAAAAGACAUGUAAUUUGCGAUAACCCAACCUUGAAGCAAUUAUUUAAAUCCAAAAAGAACAUCUUAUCUUCAGGUAAUCUUUGUAUAAACCUUAAAUAACUCUAGAUCUGUCUAAUGAGAUCUUGAGACUAUUGAGAAUUUUUAAAUUUAAUUUUUUUCUGCGUGUCUGUGUUUUGAGAAAACCAACACGAUCAACUCAAUUAGAUUUAGAAUAUGAGAUAAAAUUGAUCUCUCAUGUAAACACCUAAUGGACAAGUAUAAGGUUAUUUUUCAACAGCAAACUCUUUAAUAAAAACAUAUGGAAGUUCUUAACUACAUCCAUGGUAUCACCUAUUUGCAUAGCAAAUAUAGUUGCAACCCUAACAAAAUUUGAGCAUGAUCCCACAAAAGUUGUCAGCUACUAUACAGGUGUACAAGUAGCCUCAGGCCAAUUACAUUGCCCAAUAGCCUUACUGGUAGACAAUUUAACUUGUGCUUAGGUAAUACAAUACCCUAUAAGCUACCUUUAAGCAAGGCAAUAUCAAUCCUUAUGUACCUUAAGAACCCAUUGUUGGAUAUAAACCAAAAUUUUUUUUGAUAAGAUUGAACCAGUGUAACACUUACGAGAGAUGGAUCUAGAAAUCAAGUGUACAACAAGACUUGCAUACCAUCAUUCAUACUAGGGGUGAGCAAAAAACCUAAAAACCAAUUAAACCGAGAUAACAAAAAAAAUUAAUCUAGAAAACUGAAUCAAGAAAAAAAAUUAACCGAUUAGAAAAUCAUAAAAAAAAUCUAGUUCGGUUUGAUUUUGGUUUCAAAUGCUUGAAAUCGAUUGAACCGAACCAGUUCAACCAGCACUUUGAACAAAUAAAAGAGAGUAUAAAUAAUCUAACCCUAACCUAAACCAAAGUAGCCCCCUUAGCCCCCUUUUCUCUCAACCUCUCAUCUCUCUCAAAUCCAUCCAUAUAUCUUAUCUUCUGCUCCAGGCUCUCUUCUCUCUCUUAACCUAAAAGAUCAUUGUUGAGUUGAUCUCAGGGUACUUCCUUUUGCUUUUAAAGUAGUUGGCUGAGCAGAUUUGUUUUCCUUUCAGUUUCAACCGAUUUUCAGCUUCUAUUUUCCUUGACACUUUGUGGGGUAUUUUGGGUUUUUUUUUUUCCUUUUUCCAUGUUGUAAUUUGUAACUCUGAUUUUGCUUGUAUGUUAAAUAGAAUUCAAUCAGGUCUUAGACCAUGUAAACUGGAAUAAGUUCCUGAAUUUUGUUUUUCCUGCCAUUUUUUCUUUUCUUCAUGGUUGUAUAUAUAUAUUUUGCUUUUGUUCAUACGGACUGUAAAAAUCAUAAGGUUCUAAAGAGGAGUGAAUAAUUGUAAGUGGUAUUGAUCUCGAUCACUUUGUUGGAAAAAUUGGAUAAAGUAUUGUUUUACACGUCUGGAAACUGAUGAUUCGAUCUAUAGACUUCGAUUUGAUAUGAACUUCUCCUAGGCUUAUAGUUAUAAGUUUCUUCUUGGUUUUACCAGUUUUUGAACAACAUAAACUGAACUGAACCGAACCGAAAUCGAUUGAUUUGAAUCGGUUUCGAUUUAGUUUUGGUUUUGAAUUUUAAAAAAUAAUAAUUUUGGUUUGGUUAUUUUUUUCAAGUGAAAACCAAACCGAACCGAAUCAAAAAUAAUCGAAUCAAAAAUAAUCAACCCAAAUUCAUACCCUGAAUAGGUUGAUCGACUCCAUCCAAUUCCUAGAGAAAUUAAGAUCUCUUGGAAAGAUAAUGAGUCAACAAGGGAACAUAUCAUCAAAUUCACUUAUUAAUUAGGUGAUGGUGUUGCCAAUCCCAUAAUAAAACUAAUGUUAUUUGGUUUUUUAUUGAUCAAAAUGCCUUCCAUUGCUUCUCUUUAUUGUAAUCCAAUUCCAUUAAUAGUUUAUAGAGACUCAUUUUCAUGAUCACUUUUACAAAAUAGAACUAGAGGUAACACUAACUAACUUGACCAAGAUUUUUCAAGACCUGGGAGAAUCCAUAGAAAGUUGUGCACUUCACUUUAGAACUCUAGAAAACAACAAAACCAUAGUUAUAACAGAGUAGGAAUGUAUCAAGUUAAUUCUAGAGGGGAUGCAAUGGAAUAUUAGAAAGAGAUUUGUUGAAACCAAAUAUAUUGAUAUCUAUAUCUUUAUUGAUUAUGUUGCUCGAGAAAAAAAUACUAGUAGAUAAUUAUAAUUGAUUUGCAAGGCUUUUAUCCACCUCUACUUAGAAUUUAAUUGCUAAUUAUAGUUUAUCCACCAUGAAAAUUAAAUAGCAUGUUGAUCCGGAUUACCUGAGUUAUCGAUAAAAUUAACACUUAUUAAAUUAUUAAAAAAAAAGAUAAAUACAUGACUUGAUUAUUCAAAUUAUUGGAAUAUUUUAAAAUUAUUGACACCUUUUGCAAUCAUGAUAGUGUCAAAUUUAAAACAUUCUAAUUCACAUUUCAAGUACAUACUUUCUUGCUUUUAAAGAUUUAUGUAUAAAAUUUAUUUGUAAACUUGCAAGUAUUAUCAGUAUUGUUUUUUAAGAACCACUAAUAAAUACAUGUAGUGAGAAUUUAUUUGCCAGCUUGCAAGAAUCAUGAAUAUUCUUCAUAAAAAUGUUAUUGUACAAUAUAUAUAUAUAUAUAUAUAUAUAUAUAUAUAGGAUAAUUACAAAAAAAAAAAAAAACUAUUAGUUUAAUAUGGUUUGUAGUCAAUCGGUUGGUUACAUGUGACAUUAUUAUAUUCAUGUAAAUACAUAUUUAUUAUUAAUAAAGACUUAAUUUAUCUUUAAUAUUCAUAUAAUAUUUGAUUUAUGAAUCUAGAGUAAAGAUAAAGUUCACGAAACAAAAAUAAUUUGCAAAGAAAAUUAUAAAGUCGUUAUAAUUAUGAGAUUCCUAUUGCCUCAAAGAAUUGUUCUUAAAAUGUUCUUGGUCGAUGCUCUCUUAAAUACUAGACAUUCAAUAGAGCCGUAGAAACUAGUAUAUAUUAUGUUCUUUCUUUUAUGAUAUGAAACAAUUGUUCUCAUAAGGUGAGGUAUAAGGGAUACCUAGAACUAAUAUGUAAGUGCUUGUAAUAAGACAUGUGCACUGAACUGACCCACAUGAGAAUUCUAUAUGGAGAUAUCACAUGUGUCUAUGGAAGGCUCAUGUGACGGUUGUAUAAUUGAUCAUUAAACUUGAGAUCACUAAGUUAUCUUAUAUAGAGAGUGUUAUGUUUUGAUUCUGUUAUACAUUAUCUUGGUAAAGGUAACAAAUGAACAGACAUUGAAUAUAACAUAAACUAUAUGUAGGUAUUUGAGUGAUCAAGAGAUAAUUCAUCACCCUACGUGAAUUAGAGAAAAUAUUUCACAUGUUCUCAAAUAGUAUUGAUUGUUAAAUCUUUGCACAAGGUGAAAUGAGAUUUGAAAAGAGUUUUAAAUUUUAUUCAAAGGAUCAAUGACUAUAAUGUUGCGAACAAAUAUGAUUUGACAUGGCAGACACACUCCAUGCUAAAAUAUCUAAAUCAGAAUAUUAUUGAUGAAAGGAUAAUAAUUACACUAAGAAACUAGUUACUGAAAGGUUAAAUCAAACUACUUAUGACUUUCCUAAUAUUUAGAAAAUCAUGACAUGUUACUAGACAGUGCACUUGAUCUUCAAAUAUAAAUUAAUCAAUUUUUGAAUUGAUAAUAAAUUAAUUUGUUUGAUUUAUUUAAUUCUAUUUAUUUAGAAUUAUAAUUUAUAUUUGGGUUAACAUAUUAGGAACCUGAUGGGUCACACACAUUACGAAUCAUUAGUCAGAAAUUAAACUAAGAUAAUUAAUUAAGAGUGACUUGAUUGAAAAUAAUUUUAGAAAUUAAGUACUAGAAUGUAUUUAAUUCACAGAUUAUAAUUCUAGUCCUAAAAUAAUCAAGUAGGGAUUUGAUUGAUUAAAUUUCUAAAAUUAUUCUUAAAUAAUAUAUAGAUAUUCUUUAAGGGGCAAAUAGAUUUUUUUUUUCUAUUUAUAGGGUUUUUAGGAUUCUCUAUAAAUAUAAAAGCAUGCCUCUUAUUUUUUAAAAAAGGUUGUUUGUUAGAAAUAAAAACUUCGUAAGUCACAAAAUAAAAAACUACCACUCUAAACAAAGCAAUUCAUCUCUUCUAAAUACAGAUUUAAUAGAUUUCUCAUUAGUAAUUCAUAUGAAUUACUGUUGGAGACUAGACAAUUAGAUAACUUGUGAUUUGUGACAACCUAACCUUUAAAAAAUUAUUCAAUAUUGGAGAAGAUUAUAUCUUCAGAUAAUAAAUCUUUAAACAGCUCUAGAUCUGUCUAACUGGAUCCUAGAGACUUCUAAAUAAUUUUAUUUUAUUAUUUUCACUUCAUGUAUGAUAUUUAGAAAUCCAAAAUAACCUCUUAUAGUUUAAUUAUAUUUUCACUAUCAUGUUAUAUUUACAAAAUUUACACUUUACAUUGUGAAUUAAAAAUAAUUCCAAAAAAAAAAUACUCUAAUAUAUAAUGUACAUUAAACGAACUAAUCGUAGCAACACUCAACACUUUCUCUCUUUCACGCAUCUUUUUCUUCGUUUCUAAAUUCAAAUCACCAAUUCGGUAACAAUUUUUUAUUUUUUUUUGGUGUUGUUGUUAUGAAAAAAUCCACAGAAAAAGUUCAGAAAAUUGUGGAAAAACCAAAAAUAUUUGUUGGUAACAAAAUCAACACUGGGAUUUCUUUAUUGAACCCAUCUGUUCUUGCAAAGAUGCAUUCUUUUUUUCUUUUUUUUUGUUAAUUAUGCAAUUUCCAUUUUGGGUUUUGUACCAGACCCAUUCUAGAGAACUUGUAGUGCUUGAAUGGGGUGUUCUUGAUAUUCUUGUUCAGGAGGAAUUUUAUUGAACACUUAACGGGAAUUAUUAGAAGUGUUUGUGAAGUUUAUAUUCAUGGAAAUAAUAAAAAGAGUGUGUGUGAAUGAAUUGUUUGAAGUGAUUUUGGCAAAAAUGUGCGUUGGAGAUGCAGAUUUGUCAUUGUGAGAGGAAAAUGCUUGUGGUGGUGUACUGGGAAAGUUUAAUUUCAGUCUGGGAAAAGAAAAUGGUGGACAAACCCCUUCAGAUCUUGUUUCUAGGACUAGAUCUUUAUUCCAAAAGCUGAAAUCGUUCAAUCAACCUUAUGAUGAUAGCAGACUGUGAAAGGCUACUGCUAAUCUUUAAAGCUACUGAUAACAAAAAAUUGUACCUGGCAAAAAGCAUGGUGUUCCUGUGAAGUUUUGAUCUUCAUGCCCAACACCCAUAUUCCCUGUGGCUCCUAUAGCCUGUUUCCCACCAUAAAGAACAGAUCCUCUUCUGUUUCCUUGAAUUAUGUCUUUUCCCUUUUCAACCAAUGCAGUUCUGGAUUACUUGAUUCCGCAGAAGCCUCUGCCGGAGGAGUGACGAUGUCAUCAACAUAAAGCUUGUCAAUUGCAACAGAGUUGGGUAUAUUCUUCCCCCCGUACCAAUGGACUGUUUGUGCUUUCACCACUCCCACCAACCAAAAAAAAUUAAAAAUUAAAAAAUAAAUUUGUUAUAUAAUACUAUUAACUUAAAUAAUAUUUUAUUUUUAUUUUUAUUUUUUAAUAGUUCUCUUUUCUUUGGUUUUUUUUUUUCAAUUCAAUAUUUAGUAUUAGCUUUAUUAGGGAUAUGGUUUUAUAUUUUUUUUUAUCAAUUUAGCUUUUAUUAACUUUGUUGAUUCGAAUUUUUUUUUGUAAUUGAUUUUUUUAGUUUUAUUUUUUAGCAUUUAAUUGAUCGAGAAUUAAGUUUUUUAAUUUAUUUCGGUCUGUUUUCUAUGAAAUUAUCAUCAUCUCAUGAUUCGGAUCACAGGCUUGGCGAGUCGUUUUUGUAUGUUCUUUUUAUAUUUUUUUUCAAUUUUAUCUUUUCAACACUGAAUUGAUUGAGAAUUAAGUUUUAUAUUAAUUUUUUUCUAUAUAUUGAAUUCUCUUAGUCUCAUGACAUAAAUAAUGAGUUUAGUUGGUUAAAUUAAGUUGAUUCAGAUCAAUUUUUUUAAUUGAUUUUUUUAAUUUAAUCCUUCACCAUCAAGUUAUUGGAAAUUGAGCUUUAUAAUUUGUUUUGAUUUAUUUUUUGUGAGGCUAUCAUGAUCUCAUGACUUGAUAUGUAGAUUGAUAAAUUAACUCAAGUUGACCCGAAUCGGUCUCAUAUAUUAUUGUCUCAAUUUUUAUUAAAAAAAUUAUCAUCUUAAAUAUUUAUUUUGAUUCAAAAUAUAUUUUACUAGUUAUUUAAAUUAUAUUUAAACCUACUAAAAUAAUUGAAUUAUAUUAAAUUAAUUCUACAAUAAUUAUUUUUUUAAAAAAAAAUUAUCAACUCCAAAAUAAUUAUGUAAACAAAAAAAAAAUCCAACCGCAGUGCAGCAGGUAAUCAUGUAGUGUAUAUCAUAUUUUUAAAGACUUAAAGUGAUGUCUUUAUUUGAAGAACCGGAAGAAUAAAAGGGAGGAGAAGCAGAACUCAAGCUUAAAAGGGCACGAAGAUUUGUGGCGCACGUUAAUAAUAUUAUUUUCUCCUGAUCUUGAUGACUAUUUUUUCUUUUUCAAUAUCUUCAGGUAUAUACUUAGGAACAGGGAUGGAGCAAGAAAAAAAAAUUAAAAAGGUCAAAUUAAAAAAAUUAUUUAAAAAAAUUAAAAUUUUAAUUAUUUUAUACAAAAAAACUAAAAAAAAUUUCUUUACAGGAGCCGGACCUUACCAACCCCCGGCCUCCACCACUACUUGAGAAGCCAUCAAAACAAUAUUGACGAAUGAAUUGUCUUGCGCAUAAAGUGUUCUAUGAAAUACAAGUUUUAGUUUUUUUUUUUUUGGAUAAAGUUAUAAUAUUAAUUUGAUGAUAAAGAUUUAAUAUUAAUAUUGCAAGGACUUUUAGUUAUUAAAAUAAAUAUAAUAGCAAACUUAUAAAUAUUCACAUAUUUUUUUAUAUAUUUUUUAGCGCUUGGGAUUAAGGAUUUAAACUAUUAUUUAAUAUAUAAAUCCCAUAAUAUAAUAUGUAAUUUCAUGAAAUAUAGAGGAUAUAUAAAAACACAAUCAAACUAAUACUUUUUUUUAUAUAUAUAUAAUUAUCCCUAUAUAUAAUAUGAUUUUCGUCAAAGGUGGGGUGCUUGUUACUAUAUAAUACCUAUAUUCUAUGAGAAUAAAUAUUUUUAGGAUGGAGAAUGCCCCCUCCAGCCCUCCUUUGGCUCUGCCUUUAUCUUCCGUUACUAAUAACUAGAUCGUUGCUCAUGCAUCCUUACGGUUACUUAAAGUGAUGCUGUACUUAGAGGUCAAAUUAAUUUUUUUUUUUUUAUGUAAAAUAAAUUUAGAUAUUGUUAAUGUGUUUUUUAAUAUGAGAAAUUAAAUUACAUGGAAAUUAAUUUAAUAUAACUUUGUCAACUUAACAGGUUCAAAAAUGACCAAUAAGAAUUUAGUUUGAUUAACGAAAAAUCAAGACAAUAUUUUUUUUUAAGUGUGUGUGUCUCUGUGUGUGUGUGUAGGGUUGUCAGGGUCUCAAGAUCUGGGUAGAAGAUUUGGUAGCUUAACUCGAGUUGAUCUGAGUCGAUCUAAUAUAUUGUCAUUUCGAUACUUAAACUCAAUUCUUAAUUAAUCCAAUAUUGAAUGUUGAAAUUAAAAAUAAAAUUUCACUAAAAAAUGAGUCGAGUCAACCCGGGAUAACUUGUCAUCCUAAGUCAUGAGACCAGGAUAACCCCAUAAAAAGCAAGUCGAAAUAAAUUAUGAUGAUCAAUUCACAAUUAACUCAAUAUUGAAUGAUGAAAUUAAAAAAAAAAUUCAAUUAAAAAACCACUUAAGCCAAUCGAACAAGCUCAUGAUCGGGGUUAUAAGACCAAGAUAACCUCGUAGAAUGCUGACUGAAAAACAUUAUAAAGCUUAAUUCUCAAUCAACUCAAUAUUGAAAGAUGAAAUUGAAGAAAAAAAAUCAACUAAAAAGGGAAAAAAAUACCCAACUCAACCAGCUUUAUCCGAGUCAACAUGGCUAACCUGUAAAACACGUGACCCAGAUCAUAAGAUCGGGAUAACUUCAUGUAAAACAAAUCAAAAUAAAUUAUGAAGUAUAAUACCCAGUAAAACAAUCAUUUUGGUUCAUGACACAUGUACAUGCAAGAAUUGAACAAUAUUUAAAUUAAAACUAAACUCAACAAACAAUCCUAUUAUCUUUGUUCACAUGACGACCUGUAAGAUUUUUUUAUUUUAAAUUAUAGUAUUUUAAAUUAUAUCCGAAAACUAUAUGAAUUUCAACUUAACGAAAGCAAAAAAUUUCCAAAAAAAAAAUACAAUAUUACAAAUAAACUAAAACAUAUUAAAAUGAAUUACAAGCUCAUAUUUAAUAAAAUAACACAACAUCAAACUCAUAGCAUAUAAACAAGUCUAUUUAUCUAUGUAUAUAUCGUCUACUAAUGGGAUAAGCUCAUCAAUAAUAUAAUUGCCUCUUGUGUUUAGUGGCCUCGUCAUUGGCUACAACAUCAUCAAGAGUUAAUGUCUCUCCAAAGUUCGUAAGUGCAGUGCGAUAAACAGUGAACCAAUAAGAUACCUAAAUGCAUGCUUUAUUUUCUUCAUCAAGAUUACGAAGCAUAUAGGCAGACUCUUGAUUCUCCCAUAACAACAAGUCAACGUAAUGUUCAUAAAAUGCAUACAUUAAAUUUCCAUAAAUAAAACACAUCUUUCAAUAUAUAUUAAUUCUAAAAAGUUAAGAUUACUUACGAUAUUUUAAAUCUAAUGCACAUGUUACUUGUAUUGCAAGUCUUUCAAUGGAGGAACCUGUUCAGGUUUUUAUGUGCCCAAUGUAAUAUAAAGCUUGCAUGGUGAAUUAACUAGAGUCAUAAUCAUCGGUUUUACCCCGACAACUUAUGGUGUGUAGCACAUAACUUGUAUUAAUGUCAACUAGAAUGUGUUAUCUGUAGUCGAACAUCGUAUCACCUGAUUAGGGCAACGUAACUCAGCCAUCUUAAAAAACCAGUGCGACUGCUUUUGUCCAGGUGUCUAUCUUGCUAAUACAAACUGCUGGAGAAACUACUAAUUUAUCAUCUUCAUAUGGAGCCCACAUUACCUACAACACAAAUGUCAAAACAAUAAAGUGACAGUAAUAGGUAAAAGUUAAACUGAAUUACCAAAAAAGUUGUUCAACAUAUACCUGGAAAGGUUGUUGUCUAUCUAUCUCGCUUUGAUAAAAUAACAACAUAUUUGUGGAAUUAUUAUCAAACACCCUAAUUAUAAUAACCCUAAUCAUAUACCACCUAACAUUACAAAUCAUAAGCUUAUUAACAAUUGUUUUAGUCACAUUUACACAAACACAAUAUAGUUGCAUAUAAUUUUGAACAUAACAUUACUUGUAUUAUAAUAGAAGCUUAAGCGUAACCUUCAUAGUCUGUGACUAUCAUAAUUGGCUUAUUCAGAAUCUGGGAAUGACCCAUCUAAAGAUGCUCUCAAGACUAUAGUUAUGUCAAAAAAACCAUUGAGUGAUUUUUUUGAAUUUAUUAUAAAUAUUUUAAAUGAAAAUGAAAAUUUAUUUCAUUCAUACCAAUAAAAAUAGCAUGCAUCCCCCAAUCUAUUUUGCCUCAUUCAUGCAUGCAACACAUAGAUAUUUUUACAGGCAUGCAAAUAUAGCAGAACCCUAGCUAUAUAUGGGAAUCAAAUCAAAAUCCUCAAGAAACAUUGGAUAAAUAAGUGACACAUAUCUCUUGGACAAAUAUGUGAACAUAAUACUGGCAAACAUAUGCAAUAUAUAUGCUCUAACAUACCUAUAAUAGCUUCACAUUAUCAAACAAAGAUUUACAAAUAAUUGACAUAUAAAAAAAUCAUAAUUUAAUGCAUACUUGUACAAGAUCUCAUCAUCAGCAUCCUUUAAUGUUGUGGUGAAUGUUAUUCUAAGUCAUUUAAGGCGUAUUUUAUCCCCCCUAAAUUCAUUAAGAGGGAUGCCAUUCUAAAUACAUGCUCACACAACUCAAUAUGAUCAUGUACCCUUCUAAUAUGAUUUCUCGUCCAUUAAUGAGCAUACCAAGCAUAACUACUACAUUCUAUAAUGUGGGUGUCAUCUCCUCAUUCUUGAGGUGGAACAUAUGUGUCUCAUGUCAUCAUAUCUCAAUAAUGAAUGUAACAAAAUGUGAUCAAGCUUUAUGUGUUCUAGAUAACUAAUGUAUAAGAACCCCACCUAGAAACAUGAAUGAUUUAACCCAGUCAUGUAAUUUCAUCAUCAAUAUAACAUAUCAUAUUCAACAAUUUAAAACAUAAUUACAUUUAAGUUAAACUAAUCACUAUAUAAAAAAUAAAAGUGUUAAUUAAAGUUAUUAAUCAUAUAAUUUGCAAUUUAUACAAGUAAAAUUAGGAGUGAUCAUUUUCGGUUCAGUUCGGUUUUUAUCAAAAAAAGUAACCAAACUGAAUUUUUUUUUUUUGAAAAAAAAAUCGAAACCGAAACCGGGUCAAACCGAUCGGUUUCGGUUCGGUUUUUUUAGGGCAAAAACUGGUUCAAACCGGUUUGGCUCGGUUUUUUCCGGUUUUGGCUCGGUUUUUUUCGGUUUGGCUCGGUUUUGGCUCGUUUUUUUUUCCGGUUUUUUGUUUAUAAAACCGAAACCGAACCGAACCGGCUGGUUUUUUCAAAAAUUUAAUCGGUUUUUUUUUCGGUUCGGUUUUUUUUUUCAAAAAUUUAAUCGGUUUAAUCGAUUUUUUUUUUCGGUUCGGUUUUUUCGGUUAUUUUUUUUCCGGUUUUCUCGGUUUAAUUGGUUUUCUGGUUUUUUUGCUCACCCCUAAGUAAAAUAAACUUACAAUGACAACUAAAACAUCUUAUCUUUGCCUAUCCUACAACCGUGGGAUAAAAGUAUCAAUGAGCUCAAUAGACAUGCAUUGUGACCUUACCUAUCCAAAUGAAAGGUCUAAAUCAGAUGAACCGGACAAGUCAACCUUGGAUUAUAAAUGCCUCUAUGAGAAGACGACCCAUCACCUUGCAUGCGCGAUAUCCUAAGUAAGUGUACCUAUAAGACAUAAUGUAAUAUUAGAUAAUUAAAAUAUUAUACUCGUCGACAAUACUUGAGUUUUCAUCUGGAUAGACAUACUUUUGCUCGAGUUCUAAUGUAAUCACUUCAUUUUAGUUCAUCAUGUAAUGGAUAUAAUGCAAUGCCAUAUGUCGAUCUAUAUCUUCAAACAACCUAAUAACCAUCAAUAAAUUGGGUGUAGUCUAGAUGAUUCUUAGUGCAACAUGUAAGACUAUUUGAACAUAGUCAAUGGAAUAUUUGACAUUUACCAUAUAUGCAAGUUUUAUCCCUCAAUCUAAUUGUUUUCCUAACUUAUUUGACUACACUCGGUUUUAUAGGUGUGUUAACCUAAAAAACUUAACAUUUAACAUCGAACAACAUUGAAGUGUGUCUCUCGAUCUAUCCCUACUAACUGUUAAUUUGACUUAUACCAUUAGAGGCCAUAUUAUUUCAUUUUAAAUGAAAUCAGUUACUUGACCUUACCUCCUAGCCUAAUAACUAUUACACUUAUUGAUUAUCAAUUGAACUAGAGCAAAAACAGGCAUUACAUGAGUACUUUUCAGGACAUGAUUAAAGGCUUCUAAUAGAUUGGUUUCAUAUUGCCAUACCUGUAACCACUUCAUAAAAAAGUUCUUAUUUUUCUUUUGGUUCACGCUCGAACCAUUCUUGAUAUGUUAGGUCUAGCUUGCAUAUUCUCAAGAACCACACAUCAAACUUACAUCUUAAAGGUUUAUAACUCAUCUUCAUCAAAUCUUUAAAUUUGUUAUUGAAGUUGCUGAUGAAAUGUUGAGCAUGAUAGUGAUGAUAUCCUAAAGGUUCUUGCAAUAUUUGUGCCAUUCCAUUAUUAAUCUAUGCAUGUGUAUUUGAUAUUAUAUAGAUGUUAGUUCAUUCAAUUGUAAUGUAUCGCUGCAAACAAAUUAUGAACCAUCUCUAGUUGUAAUUAUUUUUUUUUCAACCACUAUAAAAUCCAAAGGGAAUAUCCUAUUAUCUACAUAAAAAACAACUACAAUCAAUAAUUUUCCAUUAUAUCACUUAUACAGAUGUGUACCAUCAAUACUGUAAGUAACCUAUAACACUUAAGACCUUCAAUUAAAGGUCCAAAUAACCAGAAAAUCUUUUUCAAAAACCAAUGUGCUAUCAUCAAAAUCUCCUUUGAGACCCCACUUAACAAUCAUUCUAGGAUUUGAUUCUUUUGUUGGCAACAACAAUCUUGAAAACAUUUCAAACGACUCCUCAUGUGAACCAAAAAGACGCUCAAGCACCUUCUGUUUUGCAACUCAUGCCUUGUCGUAGUAAAUUUUAUACUUGUAAUGCAAUUUUAGUUUGUUUCACCAUCAUAAAAAGGUUAUUUAUCACAAAUAUUGAAACAACAUUAGCAACAAAAUUUUGCAUGAUAUUAAUGGUGAUUUUUAAGACAAAUAUGGCGGUACAAGUGUGAGGCCUUUUUAACUUUACUAUCUCAAAUGAAUCCAAUCUUUUAUAGUACUCUAUACAUAAAUAUUAUUAACAUUCUAGUGCUUGCACACAUUGUGAUUAAGCAAAUGUGAAGGUUGACCAUUGAACUCGAUAUUAUAGUGAAUGUUCAAUAUAUCAUCGCUUAACUACAUUAACUAAAUCACUUUUACUACUGAAUGUUUAUCCAUCUGCCAAUAUUAGUACAGAGCAUCAUAUGUUAUUUUAAACUUAAUGGAUAUGGAUCACGAUUCAACCUAAUUCAUGUUAUUUUAAUUUUCAAUUGAAUGAAAUCAACCCUAAUUGCAUAAAAUCAUACCUAAUUUAAUACAAUUCAAUCACAACCUCAAUUUCAGCAACUUAGCCAAAACAAUCAACACAAAACAUAAUUGAUCAUAAUUCAACCUAAUUCAUGUUAUUUUUAUGCUCAAUUGCAUGAAAUCAAUCAUAAUUUCAUAAAUUAAUAUCUAUUUCAACGCAAUUCAAUAAAACCUUAAUUUCAAAUAAACCUAAUUUUUAAACUAACCCUAAUUUCAAGCAAACACAAAUUAACUAAGAAAUACACUAAAUUAAUAGAAAUAUAGGUUGUUUACCUUGUGUUUUCAACUGGAGAGUGGUGGUAGUUUGGUAGUCGCACCUUAUGGAGUGGUGGCAGUACUAUGGAAGCGAAUUUGACACUAAAAUUGAUGAGUGGAGGCUUAAAGAUAAGGAGAGUGAUUGUUUGGUGUGUUUUAAGGCUAAGGGCGAUGGUUUCGAUUGAUUUUUUAUUGAGAAAAACAGUGUGGACACGAGUUUUAAGAGAGAGAAAAGGGGAGGGGGGGAAAAGCUAUAAGGAGGAGAAAAAUGAAACCAAGUUAAAUUUCAUAUCUUGUUGCAAUUUAUAAUCGUGACAUUUAAAUUGUAAGUUGUUAUGAUUUAGAAUCGUGAAAUUUUUAUAAGUCAUAAUUGUGAAUCGUCAUGUAUAAACUUUAAUAUUUCACCAAAACUUUUUUAAAUUGUGUUAUUCUACUAUUAUUUUUAAUUUACUUUGCUAAUUUUUUUAAAAAAAAUCUACAAUGUCUUGAUAAGAAGAAACAUCCUAAAAAAUGUCAACUUCCUUUGCCUUAAAGAACACAUCAUUUGAUGGCGCCUACAAUGUCUUGCCAAUGAGAAAUUAAGAUCCCAUUAGCCUCUUAAAAUUUUCUUUAACUUACCUGAGACAGUAACCUUUCCCCAAAGAAAUCUUGUAAAUGUCCACAACACACGCCCACUUUAUUUGAUUGUAACUUGAAUUGCCCCCGUCCUCAGCUCACCCUUUCUCUCAUCUCUCUCAUUCAAAAGAUCUUCUUUGACAAAGUUAUGGCCAAACCGUAUGAGAUGAUAUCCUCUGUUUUUUUAUCAGAUUCCAGUGACUAUUAAUAACAAAGUUAUGGCUACCAUGGCAUCUGCCUUGAGUUCUUAUCACAAUGUUUUGAAUUCCAUAGAGAGAUUUCAUUAGACUAAAAACUAACCAAAUCAUUUAAUUGCACAAAUGGCCAUAACUGCAUAGUCCAUAUUAUACAAAUGAAUCAUGAAUAUAUUACACAAUCAAUCUACCACAACUUUUGAGGGUUUUCUUGAAGCACUGGGAGUCUAUUACCACAACAAAUCUCUUUCUUUCGUUUACCUUCGGAAAGAAAGCCUCUUCAGAAGAAUGUUCAUAACCUGCAUUUAAACUUCUGGGAUUGGAAAAAGACGUUUUACUAGCCACUGAAUUGGUCUAAAUAGCUGGGCUCUAUUCUCGCGCCAGAACCAAAUGGCUGCACUGUAUUGUUCAUUGCGUAUUUUCUUUGUCGCUGCCUUCCAAUCAUACUUCUCCGUAUCUUGACGUGCUGCCUUACCAAUGGUUUCUCUUAGUUCUUGGUUAUCCAACAAAGGCUCUAACUUGCUCAAGCAGUCAUUAAGAUCUCCUGGAUUAAAGAGAAACCCAGUUUUGCCAUCCAGUUCUGGAGGAAUUAUAUCUGGGAUUCCCCCAGCACGAGCACCCACUACAGGAAUUCCUGAAGACAUGGCCUCCAAAACAACAAGACCAAGUGUUUCGGACUCUGAAGGCAUAACGAAAACAUCCCCACUAGCGUAUGCCUGAGAGAGCUCUUCUCCUCCCAACAUCCCAGUAAAUACAGCAGGCAUGCCAGUAAACAUCUUUUCCAACUCCUCCCUGAAAAGAAAGAAACCAUGUUUCCUAAAAUAAGAUGCUUGGAAUUGUCAAAAUAAUCUUUUUACAGGAGUAAAUACGAAUUUCAUUGUCUAAUUGUAAUGGGAAUGUUUAGAUAUGGCUUAAAAGAUCAAUUUGAGAAAUAACUUCAGUGGCAAUUCAGUUCAUAAAAAUCAAAUAUUUGAAGCUGUUAUGGGUCACAAAUCAUCACAAAGUAUUUACUUCCCUUGAACUAAUCUAAGUUUUAAAAUGCAGUACCUGUAUGGCCCAUCUCCAAUAAUGGCAAUUCUUGCUCCUGGAAGCCUAUCCAUAACCCUGUUAAACCAAAUUCAUCAAAUUGCAAAGAUGCAAAAAAUAGUAGUCAUGUAUUAGGAAGAAUAGAGAGAAGAAAUAUGACUCUCUGUGCAAAACGGGGAGAGGGGAGUACUUAAGGAAAGAAAUAAACUACAAGGAAAAAAAGACAGAAAGAAUUAUGAUAGCUUAGUGAAGGAAUUCCAUCUCAAAAUACUGCUAAUAACAAUAAAAUGUACCACAGUCUGGCCACAAAAUCCUUAUUGGAUGCCCUUUAACUUUAAGGAAGAUGUAAUAGGUAGGAUUAAAGGGGGAAAAAGAAAGAAAAUUCUUGUUUAUAGGAAAAUGUCCUUGAGAGCAUCUGAUAGCAAAAGCUUUCAGACACUUUAGUUGACAAUUAACCAGAGUCAAUGAGAUCAAAGCAUACUGAGUCGGCUCUACCAGUGCUUUGAUAUUUGAAUUUUUUAAGAAAUGGUGGGUCUAAAUUUGAAAAAUGUAUUAAGUUUUGCAUCUAGUGAUUUAGGAAAACAAAUUUUCAUUCAUCAAAAAGAAAAUAAAAAAAAAAGUGAGAAAGGAUCAUAUGAUACCUUUUGAGAAAAUCCAAACUCUUCUCGACUCCAAGUCGUCCAACAUGGACUAUCAAUGGUUUUUCAGGUUCACCAUUGCUGUUUAGACCAAAAAUAUAUGAUGCUCUGAUACAUUUGAGAUUCCUUGUCUAAUGAACUGGUUGUCAAGGAUGAGAGGAUGGCCUUACCUUAAUCUCAUUCGCAUUUCAUGAGAGCGGAAACGGGGGUGGAAGCUCUCAGAAUCAACACCCUUAUUCCAAACACGAAUCUUGUUAGCUGUAAACAAGGUAUAACAAUCAAUUUAAAACACAGCUGUAUGGACACAGGAGCAAAAUUUCAUUGAAGAGAUUUCAGGAAUAAAGCGCAUUAUGCACAAAAAUUGACACUGGGAAAAGUUAAAAGCUAAGUAAUCAGGAAUUGGAUGUUUAUGUACACCUGCUGUCACCCUAGCUGCUUCAAGAUCCCUCCCAAUAGCAGCUGAUGGCACUAGUGUGAGAUCGGCUGCUCUGUGAAGAAAUUCUGAUGGAAAGGGAAUACAUGUCAUUAUUGAUAAAGUAAUCAGCAGCCUGCAGAAUUUCCAGAACUAUGAGUACAAAAUGCAUAAUACAUACUUAUGAUCAUCCACAUGGGUUUCACCAGCCAGCUAAACGUGUACCUUGGGAUGUAUCUGCAAAUGAAAAUAAGGAAUUAAACUCGGUAAAUAACCACUUGACACAUCAAGGGAAAUCUGGCAUAAGAAUUUGAAGCAACAGCAUAAACAUGUGUAGCACAAAGCCAGAAAGGCAAACUCACACAGGGACAUGAGUGUGAUAGGACAUCACGAUGGGGACACUCAACAGUUUUGCAAUGGCAAGGGCACCAAAAACCUGCGAUACAAGAUUGUGACUGUCAGCCAUGCUUAUCCAAUAAAUAAUAAAGAUUUGUUUGCUUCAAAGGCAAACCUCACCAUUAUCCCAGGUGACGAUGCAUGUAUUAUGUCAGGCUUAAACCGUGCAACCUCUGAAAUUAUUCUUGGACUAAGUGCUAGAGAAAGGGGCACCUUCUGAUACCAGGGGAAGGGGAAGCUGUAAAGAGGGAAAAGUUUAAGAACCAUAAGGGGAGAGUUAAAAUGUCAAUGCUAUUGAUCAAGUUGGAAUAAUGCCCAAGUUUCUAGAUUAUGCAGCUCAACCAAGAAAAUAAUUAAAGCAAACCAAGAUAGGCAAACAGAAAAUAUAACAAAGAAUUUAGAAGAAAAAAAUGAUGGGAAAUAAUGACUACCAUAACUUGACAAUCAUACAUGUAACCAUAAAAUAACCGUAAGGAUGGUUGCAAUCAGUGUUGUCAAAGGUGAAAGGCACUUAAAGACACCAAGCCUGUAAAAUGCCCAAGGCACUAGACGCAUGCCUAGGCGCCUACCCAAAUGACCCAGGGCAAUAUGCUAUAUAUAUAUUGGAUCAAUAGAAAAUCAAAAGAAAAUAUAAAAUACCAUAACAUAGUCAUAUAAAGUUAUAUUUUUCACCUUUAAAACAAAAGAAGAUAAGUUAAAGUAGUGAGUAACCAAAUAAAUUAAAAGCAAAAUUAAAUAUCAUCAUUAUUCAUUAAUCUUCAAAAACAUCUUCGUCCAUGCUUUCCUCUCCUUCACUUGAAUCCUCCAUUUCAUGAUAUAAUCUAAAUCCUCAUCUCUCAAACCAUACUACACUUGUAUAGAUGUGUUGUUCUCUUACUCCCACUAUUGAAAAAAGAAAGUGUGGCUGGUGUUUCUCUUCUAAUUGUCCUUCAUUGUCUAUUUGUCUCCCACUUCAAUCAUUUUUUUUAAUUUUUUUACCCUAAUCUUUGAUUUUUACAAAAAUAUUCCUAAGUUGUUCCUUGUGUUAAAUUAAAAAAAAAAUUAGACAAAUAGGUCAAAACAUAAAUCAAUUAAAAAAAAAGAAAAAAUCCAACAAAAAAGGAAGAACUUCAAGCAAGCGCUAGCCUUAACGCCUUGCACAAGGCGCUUGCCUAGACGGCGCUUCAUUGAAAUCCAACACCCGAGGCUAAUAAAGGCGUUGGGGCCUCGCCUUGCCUUAAGCGCCUCAACAUCUCUUAACAACACUGGCUGCAACACUAAUCGACACUAAAAUUGUUUAAUGAUCAAUAUUGCAUAACCACAAUUCUGAUGGGCUAAAACAAUAAGCCCCCUUCAACUCGUCAAUAUAUUAGGAUAUGAUAAUGUACAAGCCACAGGCAAAAUGCACACUAGAUAAAGGUUGUUGUAGCAACCUCCGUGAUCCAAUCAGUUUGGCUCCAUAAAAUUCCUGGGGCACUCCUUCAUGUGUUGUCACAACCAUCACCUGCACAUUACUAAGGUAACUUGUUGAUAUUGUGAAGUGAUAGAAUUUUUACCAAAUAAAAAAUAAAAAAAGUUUCAAAAUCGAUGUCUUUGUAGCUUAAACAUGCCAAGCUGAUUAGGCCGGAAAUUACAAGUAGAAAGAUAAUGACAAGCUAUAUCAAAAGCUUUGCCGGUUCAACUCUAAUUUCUUUUGAAUCAUUGUGUUCAGGGGUUUCAAAAAUUUAAAGUACCAUUCCCAACCUAAGUAAAAAUGAAUAUUUGGGAAUUAGGUUUUCUGAUAUAAAAUCAGUGAACAAGCGAUCCAGUCUCUAUUCAUGUUGCUCAAGUUAUUAAGUCACAUCAGUAUGCAUAGACAAUAAAAAACAAAAUAAAACCAUAGUCAUGUAGCACUCAAAUCAAAGUAUUAUAAAUCACCUCAUCCCCCAUUUCGCGUAAAAAUUUGAUGAAAUUCUGGAACCGGUUUUUAUACCCUGACACAUACCUGUAAAACAAAAGGAAAUAGUUGGUAUUCAAAAAGUGCCCAUUAUUCAGUCUCAACUAACAAGCAUAAAUUGAAGAUACCAAAAACAAAACAGAAUCCCCAUUAAUGAAAAAAAAACUAAAUAUAGUGAUAAACCACGUCAAUAUAUGAAACAUUUCUAUGAUGACAUCCUCUCCUCCAGGACAACUAAGCAAAGAAGACUGAACAACUAGGGAACGCAGGCUCACUUACUGAUACAGAAGAGAGAAAAUAGGAGAAAGGAAGGACAAGUCACCGGAGUGCCACCAUGGCUGUGAUGACUACACACAUCACACCAAUGGAAAAAAAAAAAGGCUCAAAGCACAUUGGCUCAUAGAAAGAAAAGAAAAGAAAAGAAAAAAAAGACAUAUUUAGUCAAGCUGUUCAGCCAAAGGCCCAACAAACAAGACCAAACAACCACCUAUCCAAACAAAUUGGUUGGGCCAAAGGCUCUACGUUAAAAAAAAAUUGAAAAGACUGAACAUCAGUCUAGCUGUUCGACUCACAAGAAGCCUUGAUGACAAAUCAAGCCUGAACAACAAAAGAAAAUCUCUCCAGGACAGCUAAGCAAAACUUACUGAAUAGCUACGGAAGGCAAGCUCAAUUACUGAGAGAGGAGAGAGAAAAAGGAGAAAGGAGAAAAGUCACUGAAGCGCUGCUGUGGCUUUGAUGACAACACGCAUCAAACCAAAAAGAAGAUCUCACCAAGACAAAUUCAACGACACCAAAAAACAUCAUCAGAACCAGAGCCAAAACAAGCUCACGUAGCAGGACUUGUUCACAUGUUGGCAUGUAUAAUACAGGUGCCAGCUAAUUUUUCUCUCUUUUCUCCAAUUUAAUCCCUAAUUCUUCUACAACUCUCCACUUCAGUCCCUAAGUUUACUUGACCGGACAGCAUGCAAGGCAGGAAGGGAGUAUUUUUAUGCUCUAGCAUUGUCAGAAUGGUGUUGCACAAUAACAACUACCAGUGUUAUGCAAUGCACGUCUAAUUCCCUGACACACUCAUUGUUAGUGCGGGGCUGCACAAUCGCCUACUAGUGUUACGCCACGCAUACCUAAUUCUUCAUGGCAGUGUUAUUAGGGCAGGACAUACCUUUCUUGUCAAUACACGCCUAACUGUUCUGUUAAUGAUCAGUAUGACGCCUACAUGAACAACUUGUUUUACAGGUUACCUAUGUGGUAAUAAAGGUAAUUAUUUUUCAUAAUUAUCCUAACACGAUAUAUCUACAACUACACUCUCCACAAGAUAAAUUCAUGUGAUUGAGGUACAUAAAUACCUUAGAUCGCAAGGUAACAACAAGUCAUGAUACAAUACCUAACACAACAAUCAUAACACAUACCCUUUUGCAUUCUCGUUCUUCGCUGUAUAUUAUUUUUCUCCUACUUUUAUCAACCUAAGCGUUGAAGGGUCCCUAUUCCAAUAGAGGACUUGUUUGCAGGAGUUCGUAAGCCACAAGCCUAACUAAAAAAAAUUCCGCCAAAACCCGUUGCACUAGUCAUGGAAAGGCCCUACUUCGUCAAUUUGUUACAAGUAGUUAUAUUUACCACCUCCAAUAUUUAGCUUCUACCCUCCCAACUUAGAGUUGGCAAAACAAGUUCUAAAACAAAGGGGUUAACAAUUUAUAUCUUAUACCGUAAAAGUCUUCGGUAAUGAAAAUCUGGAAUGCGUGAUCGAGUAACAUUUAACCAGAAAAGAAGUAGUGACGAUUGCAAUCAGUGACAAAAUGCUCCAUAUGGUGAAAAACGCCAGUCAAGCAAGCACUUCCCAGAAACGAUGAGUUUCUUAGACACUAAAUAACAGAAUAAAAUAUAAAAGGUAGACGACUACUAGGUGACCCGUUAAAGUCCAAGUAUGCAAUUAUAGCUAGUGAGUUUCUAUAGAGCAGAAUACUAUAUGAACUCCACGAUAUGCAUUGAGCUAAAUAAACCACAGGCCACGGGAAGUUACAAAAAUAAAUUCUUCAAAAUCUACAUUUAAAAGUAGAGAUAUCACAAAGCCAACCAAUUACGACAUGUGAAGUAAUUAUAUUCACAAGAAAACAAAAGGCCGUUAAAGAGAAGCCAUAAAACACAGAUGCAUAUGUUUAUCAACCGAGGUAAUGGAACAAUGGAACAAUCACCUAACUAGAUUCAAACUUCACAACAUUGGCAGUUAGCAGAACCUAUGACAUAAUCAUAAAAAUCGCAAUGGCAACUAGAGCUAACUAUUUUUAGUAAUCAAACAGAAUGACUUGAAACCAAAAAAAAAAGCAGAUGUAAACAGGAAAACAAAAUGAAAAUCAUAACGUGAAAUUGUCACAGUCGUUUCAUCAAACACGAAGCAAUCAAAGAAACUCAAAGUCAACGUCAGAUUCGAACAUCAAAAAUUAAUCAAACAAUGCAAGAAACUAGCACUAAGCCCAUGAUUUUUCAAGAAAUUGAAAUCAACAAAGUAGUCAAGACUCACGCAAAUGGAGAAGGCUCAACAAAAAGGGCAAUACGUCUUGGCCUCGAAAUGGUCUCAUAAUCAAGGAAAGGAGGAUUCUCUUCAUCUUCUCCAACCUCACCACGAGUCAUAUUGUUGUCGCUUUUAGCUCUAACAAGAAACACCCUUUAUGUCUUUCACCUUUUUUUAGCCUCCAAAACUCAGUAAAAAUACUUUCUUUGCAAGAAAGACUAGUAGGUUUCGAUUCAAAAGAAGAAACGUUGAAACUUCAAGAGAAACAAGAAGUGGGUACAAGGAAGAAGAGGAGGAUGACGCAGAAGGAGAAGAAGAAUAAGUGGUGGUACAUAAAAAAUGAGGAGAGAGAGUAUGAUUUAUAGAGAGAGAAGUAGAAAGUGUGACGAUGAGGGAGUAAUUUAGCUGGUGGAGUAGCGAGUUGGAUUUUGUAGAUUGAUUAAUACAGUGAAUUAGAGAAGGAAUAAUUUUCAUUCUUGAAAGGAAUCUUGAAGGGGUAUGACUAUGAGGGAAAUAACAAUAGCACAUUAUCAAUGAAUAUUCCCUAUCACAGGAGGGACACUCCCUCGUCAUUGAGGUAUCAAUGGAAGAAUAUGUAAAGGCAUAUGCUUUCAGCUAAUUGAGAACAGAUGCUUAUCUGUGAUGGCUAUGGUUUUUGCCCCUCUUUCUUUGCUAUUAUUGUAGAUUUUUCAUUUCUUGCCCGCCCAAAGAAGGAUAUCUUUUUUAUAUAUUUCUAUUUUUAAGAGAGCGAAGAAGAAAAUGUUUUAUUCCCAAUUUGUUUAUGUGGUCAAAUUAAUAGCUUAACUGUUAAGAUUGUCUGAAAAGAAUAAGAAUCGAAUCUUCUUAGGUUAGGAGACAAUCUCUUUACGAGAUUAAAGGGAGAAUUAACCAAAGGUAGUGAGUUCUUGAAAAGGAUUAGUUCGGUGUGACAAAGGACAAGACUCCUUUGAACUAACAUUUAAAGUUUGAGACUUGCCAUUAGUUUUUUUUUUUAAUGUAAUAUUCACGUGUGUUUAGUAAUUUAAAAGUAAUUUUAAAUUGAAAAUAGAUAAAAAUAAUGAUUUCUCAUGUUUUUCUUUAAUUUUUACUUUAACACAUUAAAAGCAUUCAAGAGCACUUAAAAAUAUAUUAAUUUAACCAUCUAGUAGGUGGUCUAGUGAUAAGAGUUUGGAAUUAAGAGAUUUACUCCCCAUGUGGUCUCAGGUUCGAGCCAUGUGGUUACUAAUAUGGUGACCACUGGAGGCUUACAUGGUCGUUAACUUCAGGACCCGUGGGAUUAGUCGAAGUGCACGCAAGCUGACUCGGAAUAUCCACGUUAAUCAAUGUUCCUAGUAGAAUUUAUUGAAUGUCUCAAAUACAUCAUGUUAAUGUAAAAAAUAUAUCUAAAAAAUCUAUAUUAAAACAUAAACUAUACAAAAAAUACAUAUCACCAUCAAAUAAAAUAAAAAAAACUUGUGUUGUCCGAAAACAUUACAUCACCAUCAUUAUUCAUUCACAUUUAGAACAAAACUACAAACCAUAUUCAGAAUAGAAAUCUUAAAAAACAAGAUUUCACUUUUGUGUUUGUAGUUGUGCCCAAAAUCUAAUUAUAAUCAGAAUGUUUCACUUUCUUUUUGUGUAUACAACCCUACUCUAAUAUAAAGUAAACAUGAUCCUCUACUCUGUUUUUUUUUUAUACUAAUAAUGCAAAAUCUAUAAUAUAUGCAACUAUGUCAUCAUAUUGUUGGACAAGUUUAAAAAUACAAUGUAAAUUGUGUUUUUUUAAAUUUUAAAUGUUUUUUUUUUAAUUUUUAUAUUUUUAAAUCGUUUUAAUGUGUUGGUAUUAAAAAUUAUUUUAAAAAAUAAAAAAUAUUAUUUUAAUAAAUAUCUAAGCAAAAAGUAGAGUAAACGGCACUCACUAUGGUAAUCCCAAAAUAACCCUUAAGAUAUGCAUGAACUACUUGAUUGUCCACUGUGCAUCCAGUUGGAUUUUGUGUGGCCACGUGGAUACAGGAGUAAUAAAUGUCAACACAAAAUUGUUUGUCGUUUUAUUCGACAAAUAUAUGGUUAUUUGGACAGGCAGGGUCAAGGAGUGUACAACGUGAUCAUCCAUUUCGAUUUCAGACAGCUAUUAUGUUUUCAAUAGUUGGCGUUUACAGUACUUUCUCGUGAUUAAAAUAAUGCUUCUUUCACAGCUUGGACAUGAACGUACAAUAUCAUUCCUUUUCUCUCCCUUUUUUACCAAAAAUGUUGUUCAAAUGGAUUUCUCAUGGAGAAAUGUCGAAUAAAGAAGAAAUUUGGAAAGAAAUAUUUGAUUAUAAGUAUAAAUUUUUAUUGUACAAUAAACUAAGUGAAAAUUAUGAUAAAUAAGUUUUUAAUUUUAUUAUAUAGAUAUUUAUAAAAUUAAAAGAUGAAACUUGCCACUUAACUAUAUGUAAUUUAGAAUUUAAUUUGUUAGUAAGAUUAAUUUUAUAUUAAGUUAAUUUCUUUUAACUUUUUUAAUUAAUUUUGAUAUUUAUAAUUAUUGAGAUAAAACUAAAUAAUAGUCAUUCAGUUUGAUUCAAAAUAUAAUUAUCUUAUUAACAUUCAUAUAGUUUUAUUAAAAUGUUUUAAGAUUAUAUAUACAUGUUAUUACAUAUAGAAAAAUGAUAUAAAACAAAACAUAUUUUCUUUCCUUUGUAUUUUCUAUUAAUUUUUUUAGAUGGUUUAGUUGUAUUCUGAAAAGAUGUUGUGUUGUUGUGAUAAAACUAAAUAUAUAAAUAUGUUAUUGGAGAAAUGAUAUAUAAAAAAACAAAUGUUUUUUAUUUAUUUUAUUUAUUUUCUUAUUUUUUUAAACAUUUAAAGAACUUGGUUUUAUCUUAGAGAUGUUCUCUCUAUAUGGAACAAAUAAAUAUCUUAAAAACAAUAUUUUCACACCUCUAAACCAAUUAAUUUUAUUUUUUAUUUGAUUUCAUACCCAACAAAUUACUAAUAAAAACUACCUUUUAACCCAUGCAUAUCUCAAAACAGUUUUAUUUUUUUUUUAUAACUUAGAGUGUCCGGGCUAGCUUACGCGCACCACGACUAAUUCUUGGACCCACUGAACACCCUACAAGCCUAAUAAACAAGUAAAAUACCGCGAAGAUAACACAAAAAGAAUGAGCCGAGAUAUUGAUAAAGAGAAGAAGUCCCUUCUUAAUAUGCCACGAACUCAAGUGCAGUCUCACUUUUUUUUCUUGUGGAGGUGAUUGAUAGGUUUAGUAAUCCAAUGUAAAUAUACCAUUUUAUAAGAAUUUAGAUAGAAUAUAGAUUUCCUAGUGGGGGCUUCGUAACAAGUCGUCUCUUUCAUUUUUAAGAUUAAAAAAGGGAAAGCUGCUCUCUCAUCAUACAUUUUAUUUCACAUCUUUACGUAAUCUCUUGCUUCUGGACAAUGAUCUCUGAACAUUUUAAGUUGAUGUGACCUUUAAGAAAAGAGUCUAUAUACAAUAAAAUAAAAUGUCAAGCACCUUUAAACCAAAAUAAUCUUGUUGUUUUUUUAAAAGUUUUUUUUAAAAUUAAUUUUUUUAGUGUUUUAAAAUUAUUUUAAUAUAUUAAUGUCAAAAAUAAAUUUUUAAAAAUAAAAAAUAUUAUUUUAAUAUAUUUUUAAAUAAAAUUUAAAAACAAAAUCAUUAUUGUAUUUCAAAACUUAUCCGUUGUAAAAGAGCUGUUACCUAUCAAUUUUUAUAUCCAACUUGCAUCAAAAUCUGAGGAUCAUUGUAAAUGCCACUGGAUAUACUCUUAAUGUUAUUUUUGUACUCAACAGGGGAUCAUGCACUAGCUAAUAAUUAAUGUUAAAAAAAAAACCCUAUUAUUAUACUGAUCCAAUAGCUAAAGAGAACUUUAUACAAGUUCAUGACCCAGGUUGAUUUUCUCACUGAUGCGUGUUUAAUUAACUAAUGGAGAUUUGCUGGCGCAAAAGUUUGGAUAAUCUCAUGGGACAUGGUUGGUUUUCCUUGAAAGGAACUUCAAAUUGAGUUUCAGUUUGCUUGUUUCACUCGGGUUAAGUAUUUUCGGUUUAAUUCGGUUUUGAAUUGAAAAAAAUAACAGUUUUGAAUCUUAAAAAAUAACCAAAUUGAAUUUAAUUUGUUUAAUUCAAACUAAAAUCGGUUCAAACUGAAUAGUUUUGAUUUGGUCCGGUCUGGUUCGGUUUAUAUUAUUAAAAAACCAAAAUAACACAUAAAUGAUCUUGCGUUGAAAAUAAUCUUGCAGUUAAUGGCAGCAUCAUCUUUUUUUCCUGAUUUUCACAAAAACCCCACAAAAAAAAUCAUAAAAAUUCAAUAUUUAACCUUAAGACAAACAAAAAAAACACAUAUUAUUGAGCAUGUGGGUUGGCCUUAUCAAUAAUAUUAUUGGUUAUUAUUGAUAAAUCCAAAAACACUGAUGGGUGCUCCACUCGUCUUGGAGUUGCCUGCAGACCUUGAUUAGAUCCAAAGGGUGAGUGGAGCACCCAAUUACUACUGAUGCAAUACCUUCUUCAACAAAACUCUUCACCCUCAUGGUAUGAUUGAUCAGUUUGAUAAAUUAAAAGUUUUCAUGUUACCAGUUGGAUUUCAGGUGAAAAUUGAGGCUAAAAGCAAUGGAAAAAGAAUGGGGGAUGUUUUGUCUUCGAGAUAUGUGCUAGAUAAAAAUAGGAAAAACAAGAGAGAAAGAGAGAGAGAUUGAGAUGCUGGGAGUGAGAGAAAGAUAAAUAGAGUCUGGGGGUAUAUCCUGGGUUUUUUUAACUUUAUUUAGUUUAGUUCGAAUCGGUUCAGUUUGAUUUGGUUUAUUCAAUUUUAGUCUUAUAAAAUUAAACUGAAUUGAAUUUUUUUAAAAAAUUUCUAAUUAGUUUAAUAAAAAAAAUUAUAAUUUAAUUUUUUUAAUUAUAUUUUUCUUGGUUUAAUAAGUUUUUUUUAUCGCAGCUAAUUUACUUGUCCUUGUGUGAUUUGGGGGAAAAGAAUACAAAGGGCUAGCCUGGGAAUUGUUUUUUAAGGGCAAACCUUAAUGUUAUAUCUCAACUAUAGACACUCUUAAUUUUGCCACCAAACAUUUUCUUAUAUCAUUUUUACCCUUAAUUCUUUUAAAAAAAAUCUCAAUCAAGGACUCCAUCUAUUUUUAAACUUUUUUUAAUCCAAAUUGCACUUAAAAAAAUCAUUUUAUAGAAAAUUUAAUGUUUUUAAAUAAAUGAUUUUAAUGGAAAUCCUAAUUGAGGAAUCAAAAUAGUUUAAGGUAAAAUUGAUAUAAAAAAUAGUUUAGGACAAAAUUGAUAUUAAGGAUAUAUUUGAUUUUCAUCUUUUUUAAUAAUUGGAUGUAUUCUCUCACAGAUGUUUCAUAUGAAAUCGUUUUGUUAGGCUGGCAAUCCAUGUGAUUUUGGUUUUCACUAAUUGACAUAAAGUUUGAACUCAAAUUCCUAAUUAUAGUUUUCAGACCCGGCCUGGUUCAAGGUCCAGGUUCCGGAUUUUGAUCGGGUCACCGGAUUGCCCGAGUCAACUUUUUUUUUAAAUCAAAACGACGUUGUUUUAGUAAAAAAAACAAAAGUCAACGAGUUGCAAUCAGGUUUUUGACUGGAUCUUGCCAAGUCACCGGGUCAACCGGGUCACACCGGGUUUUUUCUUUUCCUAUUUUUUCUUCAACUCGGCCCGGUUUCAGCCCCGGGUCGACCCGCCAGGCCGAACCGGGUUUCAAAACUAUAUUUCUAAGGGAACUAUAUAAGUUUGGAUAAGUGAAAUUGUUCAUGGUGUUAAUAGAAUUUUGUUAAAAUAUAAUGGCUUGUUUGAUAUUAUUGUAUUUGUGAUAUGUUGCAUUGUUAAAUGAACGUAACAUUAGUAAAAGUAGUGUCGUAGUUAUAUUUGUAAGAACUUGUACUACGUUAAUUAUAAAAAUGGUGACCUUUACAAUAAACUAUUUUGCUUUUGAUUAAAAUUAAGGUUACCUUCCUUCGUUUUAUAAGCAAACCGAUUUUCUUUUAAAGUAUAACGUGUCUUGGUUUCAAAGUAAUCAAAAUGAAACUUAGACCCAGUUUGGUUACGUGGCUAACCCGUAUUUUUAUAAAAAAAUUAUUUUUUUUAUUUGUAUUAUUAGUUUUUGUGUUUUUAAAUCAUUUUGAUAUUCUGAUAUUAAAAAUAUUUUUUAAAAAAAAUAUCAUUUCAAUGCAUUUUCAAAUAAAAAAUAUUUUGAAAAAUAUUAUUUCCAUAUAUUUUUAACACUAUUUUAAUGUUUUUAAAGCACAAUACUAUCAAUACACUAAGAUUAUCAUGUCUUGAAAUUCGAGCACAUAUCAAUUCUAGUUUUUUUUAAUGGAGAAACCUAUAAAUAUAUCUUACUAUAUUUUGUAGAAUUUUAAGAGAUAGCAAUCUUGUCAUAUGUAUAAAACUUAGAAACUGUACAAAUAUAUACAGGAGAGAAAUUAUGCAGCAAGGAAAGCAUAUCUUGCCUAUAAUUUCUUUUAUGAUCAUUGUCAUGACUAUAUACUAAUAGUAAAGACAAUCAUAUCUAAAUAAGGGAACACAUAAUUUAUUCUAGACAAUGACAUAAUGGUAGAGAUCUUCAGAAUAUCUUUAAUACUCCCUCUCAAGCUGGAUCAAGCGGAUUGGUAGAUUUGAGUUUGCUUAAUAAUCGAUGAAAUUGAGUAGAUGGUAAGACUUUGGUGAGUACAUCAACUAGUUGAUCAUGGGAACAUACAUGCCGAGGUUGGAUGAAUUUAGCUUGAACUUGUUGACGUAAUGACAAUCCACAAUAUGCUUGGUGCGUUCAUGAAACACCGAGUUAGACGCAAUAUGCUUAGUAGCUUGAUUAUCACAAAACAAUUGCAUAGGAGUAACAUGAGGAAAUCCCAAAUCUGCAAGGAAGUUUUUGAGCCAAAACAGUUCACAAACAACAGAGGUCAUAGCAAUUCUGCUUCAGCAUUUGAGCGAGCUACUACAAGUUGUUUUUUUUUCUUUUCCAAGAUACCAAAUUACCACCAACAAACAUUAAAUAUCUUGUGGUAGAUCGACGAUCGAGAGAAUUUCUUGCCCAAUUAGAAUCAAAGUAGCCUAUGAUGUUAGUGUGGCCAUUGCAAGUCAUAACAGUUCCACGGUCAAUUGUCCCUUUGAGAUACUGUAAGAUACAGUUAACCAUACUAAGAUGUUGAAUAGUGGGAGCAUGUAUAUAUUGACUAACAAGGUUGACAACAAAUGUAAUAUCUGGUCGCGUGAUUGUUAAGUAAAUUAGCUUACCAACAAUCUUCUGAUAGUGAUUGUAAGAAGCAAGAGGUUCACUAGAAGAAUCCAAUGUUAAUUUGAUGUCUAAAAGAGUUACAAAAGGCUUAGUAUACAACAUCUUAGCAUCCUGGAAUAGAUUAACAACAUACUUGCGUUGAUUUAGAAAGAGUCCUUUACUGGAAGUUGCCAUUUCAAUGCCUAAAAAAAUACUUCAAAGAGUCAAGAUCUUUAAUAAGGAAUUGUUGUUGAAAAGCUUCUUAAGCUGAGUUAUUGAAUCACCAUUAUUCCUAGUUAUAAUAAGAUCAUCCACACAGAUGAACACAACUAGCUUAAGAGUUGAACCAAGCUGAAUAAACAAGGAAGAAUCUGUAGAGCUUCUUGUAAAACCAAGAACUUUAAGAGCAACACUUUAUUUUACAUGCCAAGCCUGAGGACUUUGCUUUAAGCCAUAAAUAGAUUUAUGAAGUUUGCAAACUAGGUGAGGUCAUAUUAAACAGAGGAGCCAAAUGUGCAUUUAUUUUGUCGCCAUAUAUCAGACAUUUGUGUCACUUUUUGACAUAGUUAAUAUAGUCUAUUUCCAUAAUCAACCAAAAGUAUCUAGAUUGUUGCAUUUGUUUUACCAUUAUAUGCCCAUUAGCAUGAGCUGUAUAGAUUCCCUCAUAUAUUUCUUGUAAUGCUUAUUUAGCUUCUUUUUCAUUCAAAUACCUUAGAAAAGUUCCAUCGAAUAACCUUUUAUACAAGAUUUCACCAUCUAAAUAAUAAUCCAUUGCCAUUUUCCUCAAAGUUUUUGCAUCCAUUUUAGAGACUCUAGGAGGAUCUUCCUGGUGUUGGAUAAACUUUUUAAUGUCACUAUACUAUGGUUUUUCAUCUAUUAUCUCUUCAAGUUAGCAACAAUGAGCUUGAAAAUUUCUAACUUCAAUAUUUAUUGGUUGAAUUCUACUCCCAAUAUUGAUUCGUUUCAUUGAGGCUAUGGUAGCCAAGACAUCAACAAAUUGAUUCUUGUCUCUACCCAUAUGAGUGAAUUUUAUCUCUUCGAACUCACUAGCCAACUUUGAGAGAUAAUCUUGGUAUAGCUUUAAUUUAUCAUUCUUAGCUUACCAUUCUCCUUUUACCUGGUAGAUAAUUAACAUUGAAUCUCUAUAAACAUCAAGCUUUUCAACAUCCAGCUCUAAAGUAAAUUAUAAAUGGAUGAUACAAGCUUCAAAUUCGGUGGUGUUGGUGCAUUCAAACUACAAUCUCAUUAAAACAAGAUACUACUUCUUUUCUAAAGAAAUUUUUACUGCUCUAUCCCCAUUCCCUAAUACGUUCACAACUCCAUCAAAAUACAUGGUCCACCAAUCAUCCAUUCUGCCAUCAUUCUUAACUGCUAACACUUCUUCAUCAGGAAGAUAAAAAUUUAGUGGCCCAUAGUCUUUUACAUAAUUAUUUGCUAAAUGAUCAACAAUUACGCUACCUUUUAUGGCCUUCCUUGUCAUAUAGAUGAUAUCAUAUUCUACCAAUAACACUAGCCUUUUUGCACUCCAAACUAAAGCACGAUCAUUCAAAUUUUUGCUCAAGUAAUAAAUUGUUUGUUCUCUCCUCUCAUAUUGAUUAUACUGGCCUAACACAUACCUUAUAGUUGUUUUCAUCACUGUCAUGUAUAGGAUCAAAGGUCUUCUUGACAUAGGGGAUGUCAUAACCCAAUUCUGGGUUAUUCCCCAAAAAUCAAUUUCUUUUUCAAAAUAAAAAAUAAAAAAAUAAUAAUAAAGGCUGGCAACGUGGAGAAAGCAGACUAGAGAAUCAAGCUGUAAUUUUGGAGGAAAUUUUAAGGUCUAAUUGUACCCUCAUUAUGCCCCAAAAUAGAGAGAAAAUGCAAGUUUAAGGUCAAAUUAAAUGAUUAUUGGAUGAAUUUGCAUAAAUAUUAAGUCCAAGGAUAUAAUUAAAUUUUUAAUAGGUCAAUUUGAUUUAAUCUUGGGCUAAAUUGAAUUUUAAUUAUGUUUAAGAAUUAAUUUGGAUCCAAUUGAAGGAUUUAAUUAAGUGCGAUGACUUAAUUAUACUUUAAAUGGGUCAAAUUAAUUUUAUUUGGGGAUUAAUUGGUGAAACAUUAAGUUUAGGAGCUAAUUUAGGCUUAACUGAGAAGAUUAAAAUUUUAAGAGACCACAUUUAAUUUUUACCAAGUUAAUUGAUUAAAAUUAGGAGCAAAAUUACAAGAAAAUUGAAGUUUUGGGGUCAAUUAGGGGCUAAAUUGAAGAAAUUCAUAGCCAAGGACCAAUCUGCAAAAGGUGUCGGACUAUGGAGGCUCAAUUGACAAAAACCAGGGGUGAAAUUGAAGAAAUUAAAAGUUUAAUGGUCAAUUAGGGGUUAAAUUGCAUAAAUCCGAGAUCAAGGAUUAAAUUGCAAAAGGUGCGUAAAUCCGAGGCUGACGUUGAAGUUCCGCAGGGGCCUAAUUGCAUUAAAUCAAAAGUUUAGGGUCAAUUAAGGGUUCAAUUGAAACCAAUCGAAAGCUGGAAGACUAAAUUGAAAAUCAGCAAAAAUCCCUAAUUCAAUCCAAAACGGCGCCGUUUUGAAUAUAUAUAUAUAAAGAGGACCAGACAACACGUCCUUUUUUUAUUGAUUUGAGGUAGAUCCUCUUCAAUAAGGAGAUCUUUGUCUUUAGAAACUCAAGACAAAUCCCUUAGUAAGGAUGUCUCUACUUUAUCAUGCUAAAACCUAACCAUUUUAAGAUCUAAAUUUUAAUAUUGUAUUUAUUUUUAUUUUGUAUCUUUAACACUUGAGGAUAUACUUUAAAGUGUAAUUUUAUACAUUUAAAUAUUAAAGUCUUCAAUUAGUUUCUAACAUUUAUUUUUGUCAAUUCAUUCAAUUUAAUAUAUGGAAUAUACAUUACAAUGUAAAAUUCACACCCUAUGUAUUAAUUAAACAAAUUAAUUUAUGUGGUGUUUUUGAAAUUUAGGUCAAUUACUAAUGGAUAAUCACAAACUUAUUAUGAUACCCAUUAAUUGAUUUUUAUAUUUUUUAAAGUAGGAUAAAACACAACUUUUUUUUAUAUAUAAAAUAUGCAUGAAAAGUUUUAGAAUUUAGAAGCAUACACACAAAUAAAAACAUAUUUUUAUAUUUUUAAAUAAGAGAUUUGUUUUUUGUAUUUUUCUGAAAUUUUGAAGAAAAACAUAUAUAUUUAAUAUCGGGUCAGUAUUUUAUAGUUAAGUUUACAACCAAAUAUUAAAUGAAUUGGUUGAAAAACAUGCGAGGGACCCAUAAAUAAUUUUAGAAUUUGUGAAAAUCAUUUGAGGUUUGUUUAGCAAAACAAGAAAAAAAAUUCAGCAAAAAAAACUAUCAAAAAUUUGUUAGGACAUGUUUGUCAAACACGUCCUAAGAAUUAAAAAAUGCAUUUUUUUCUUUGUAAAAUUUUGCACAACCAAACACUGCUUUAGGCUCAUAAUGGACUCAGCCUAGCCACGAGAGCUGGGCUUACCAACCUAAAGCCUUAAAGCUCUAAAACAAAGCCCAUACUAAAAAAAAAGAUCAAAUAAGAUUUUUGUUUGAAAUUCUACUAAGAACACGAUGAACAAGAAGAAGAACCUAGAAAUCAAGUUGAAAAUUUCAACCAAAUCUUGUCAAAUAAAAGGCAUAGAAACAUUGAGUAUGGAACAAUGAAACAUAAGGUGCAUCAUGCAAGAAAAACAAACUAAGAAUGACUUAAAAUUAAUUGAACCUGACAUUUAUGAACACAAACUUGGAUAUUCAAAAUUAAAAAGGACGAUUAGUAAAAAUCAAGCUUCUAAUGAACAUAUUGAUGGCAAAGAAUAAUCAUACAUAGAUCCCAAUUUGAAUCUAGGUACAUAAGGCAAGCCAAAACACUGAUUUGUGAGAAAUCAUAAUUUGUAACUUAAGAACAUUCAAAGGAAGAAACCCAAAAAUUCCCAGAAAUUGCCCAAAUCUACCUGAACCUAGAAAAAAAGCAUAAAACUAGAAAAAAAGACUUAAGCAUUGUAACUAUAGCUUAGAGACGUUACACACAACUUACUUGAAAGAAUAGAAACAACAAGAAACUUCAAGAACAACAAUCAAAACCUAUUAUUUACAGCAAGUCAAAAAUGCAUUCUCUUUAAGUAUAAAUAUUUUUUCUAUGAGCAUUCCAUUUGUUUCUAAACUCAAAUAUCAUGCUUGCAACUUCAAACAAACCUAACAAGCUAUUUAAAACAGCCUAAUCAACAACAACAUCAUACUUCAACAUAUUCAUAUCUACAUUAUUGAUUAACUAAACAUUAAAGCAUGCAAAACAACAUUUUAUACAAACAUUUAUCACUCCAUUCUCAUCUCUUAAACAUUAAACGAGACAUCAAACAAACUUGAGCAUGCACAAACUAACUUCUAAGGUAUGAUUAAAUUACUUUAAACUAACAUAUGACUAUAAUGGAUGCAUAAUAAACAUUUUAAACAUGAAUUUUAAAAACAAAAUACAAGGAGAGGGUGUGCUCAUUCAGCUACACCCACCAUUAAAGUUUAAAGGUAUACAUUGUAAAGGAAAUGUUGAUUCCUACUAUGGAUUAUUUGUUUAUUUAUUGUUGAUUUUUAGCUUCUUUUCGAUCUGAGAUUGACCUUGAUUCUCUUCUUUCGUUCUUUCUUAACUUAGUACACAAUUAUUGGAGCUUUUUUUUUAAAUAAGUUUUAGGGUUCCUCCUCUCAAUCUUUUUGAGUUUCCUUUUUUUUCUUCUUCGUGAUUUUCCUAUAAAAAAUCCCUCAUUCACUACUCAAGAGCAGAUGCCCUUUUGUAAGCAAGCUAAUAACAGAAAUUUCAAAACCAUGAUGGUUUUUUCCAAAAGGUUAUUAAGGAAGAUUCUUAUUCUUUCUCUUCCAAAACCUUCCUCUCUUAAAUAGGUGAUGUAUGUUCCCUUUUCAUCCUCUUGUAAACCAAAAUCACAUGAGAGAACACCAUACGAGUCUUUUUUUGUUAUGGUGAAUUAUUCUUCAGUCAUAGAUGAUUGGGUUAGGUACUUUGUCAAUAUCAUUGUGGAGAUUAAGCCAUAAAUGUAUGAUUACCUAAACCUUGUGAGGGGAAUGUAGAUAUAUCAUUAGGAACAAACCAUACUAGAUUUAGAGGUUUAAAACUCCAUAUUCAUUGAUUGGAAAGUGAACUCUUAAUCAGCUUGAAUCUGCUAAUGCAGAGGUGGCUGAUUAGGGACAAGAUGUUAUUGAGUUUAUUGAGCUGAAUGAGGCAUAAAUGUGUGAUGGGGAUAAUUGAUCCUUGUAGACCAGAUGUUUCUAAGUCGAGUGGUGGUGGCCGGAUCCUGUGAGGUGGUCGGAGAUGCUAUGUUCAUUCGCCUGAAUAUGGCAACUCGAUUAGCCUUCUUGGCUGAAGGAGAUGAUAAGAGGGUCAGACAACAUGUCACACAUUUCUUCAUUAAAGUUCGAGUGAUGCGUCGUUCAUUUAAAUUCUAAAAAUUAGGGUUAUUAAAAUAGGAUUUUAGAAAAUUUUCAAUCUAAUCCCAGCCUUUCCAAUUUAAGCGUAUGAAUCCUUAAUUGACCUUAGAACUUCUCAAUUUUGGCAAUUGCACCCUUAGAAACAUUGAUUAAAAUCCUUUAAUUUGACCAUCCUUUUCCAUUUGCUUUUUGGCUACCAGAUUAUACAAUUUCACCCUUAUCAACCAUUAAACUCUUAAAUUCUUUCAAGUAGACCACUGAUUUGAUUAGUUUCAGUCCCUGAACUCACGUGCCUUAUGCAUUUUGAUCCUUAGUUUUGAAGUUCUUCAAUUUGACCCUCAAUAAGCAUUUAAUCUUUAAAUUUCUUUCAAUUGAACCCCUGAUUGCACCAAUUUAGCCUUUCCAAGUUUUAAUUGGGUCCCUAAUCUUCCUAUCUUUGUGAAUUGAUCUGAAUUAGGCCUUAAAACUUGAUUUUUCUUCAAUUGAGUCCUCAAUUGAAUCUAUAAAACCUUUUAGAAGUUAAAUUAAAUCCUUGAACUUAAUUAAUUCUUCCAAUUUUGACCAAAUUGACUUUUAAACUAACUUUUCUUCAAUUAAGUCUUUAAUUUUGGUCAAGUUGGAUUUCAACCUCUACUUUCUUUAUGUUAAGUUUUUAUUCAUCCUAUCAUGUCAAAAUAUCUCAAUCUGAUUAUUUUGGUCUGUUGAAGCUCGAUGACUUAUCUCCUUGUGUCUUAAAAAUAUUUUUGAAUUUUUUUAUUUUUAAAUAAAAAAUAAAAUGUAUUUAAAAUAUUUUUUGAAGGAUCCAAAAUUAGAUUAUGAAAGUUAGAUAGAACGUUUUGCAUUUCACAAAACAUGUCAACUAAUGGUUAUUUGAAAUUAAUUUUUAUUCAACCAUAAUUUGUUUUGAUCAUGUUAAUAUUUCAUUUUAUAUAUUUUUGUAGAAGAAUAAUUUUAAAUAAAGUUUUAAUUUUAAAGUAGACUCCACUUUUUUUAAUUUAAUGUUAAAUAAAAUUAUUCAUUAAUAAGAAGAUAAGGUUUCGAGUCCGAGUAUGUUCACAAAUACACUUCUGAAUCAGUGAGGCGGUUGUAAUUUGAAUUCAGGAUUUCUCCUACUAUGCCAUCCUAAAACAAGGGGUCAAAAUUUUGUUGUCCAAAAAUCUGUAAGCAGCACUUUCAAUUCAACCAAAGCUAUAUGUGUACGAUACCUUAGCCAUUUGCUUUCACGCCUUUGCUGUUUUCUCUUCUGUCUUCAAGAUGGUCGGUUGAUUAAUUGCUCGUCGAAGACUGAGAGAAAUGGGACAUAAAACUGGGACCUUUUAUCUCCCCAGUCAAAAAAAUAAUAAAAAAAUAAAAAAUCACCAGCAAACAGAUCUGUUCAUCAGGAAUUUUCUUCUGUCAAAAUGACAGAGGGAAAGGAAAAGAUGGGUUCCAUAAUGUUCAAGCCAUGCCCACGCUUCCACAUUCAAAUAGAUUCCCUCUUGAAAUGGGGCAUCAUUACUAGAAUUCCUGAUCCUUUUGGAAUCAUGAUGGCCAACAAAAGGCAAAGCAAAGGGCAGGUAGGGCCAUAGGAAGCCUAAAAAGCAACGCUGACGAGAAGAGUAUCAAAUUCUGCCCCUCUUCUGUCCUUGGUUUUCUCUUCUUUUUUACCUCAUUUCACUCACUCUUACCCUGUUGAAGGCUCCACCACCUCCUCUUGCUUUUGACCAAACCUAUUUCUUCUUGGUUGUGUUGAAUUCGUGGAUGCACAGCAAGCCUACUGUUCAUACUUGCUUCAGAAAACGGGUUUUUAAAUUAUUUAGCCUGGCUAGCACAUGGAGACCUUGAAUUAUGUAACGUAGCUGUAAUGGUUUCCUUGACUAUAAGAGCGAAACAUUGAAUUCUUAGUGUUGGCUAUUAAAUAAAAAGUUCAUACAUGCUAAAAUGAGCAUCGUGACGCAAAUACAGAUGAAAUAAUCACACACAACUAGAUCAUAUAAACCAAACCGAUCAUGUUACAGGGAUCACUGAUAAUCAGACAAUUUUGAUUCACAUGGAUCAGAUGCCUACCACUUUCUCCAUAUUUUCAAAAUGAGCGUCCUAAAUAGUAUCUAAUCAUAAGGCAUAAGUCGGGGGGGAGUAUAUUGUCGAUGGGUAUGUACAAUAUGUAGAAUACGGUGAACAUGCCAUGUACAUGUCUCAUGCAUGGCUACACGUAUUCCCUUACGAAGUGGUGAGAAGUUGAACCAAACGGCUGGCUGGCUGGUUACUUAGAAUGUGUUUAUAAUUGUGGUGUAAUUUGGUUUUUAAAAGUAUUUUUUAUUUAAAAAAUAAUUUAUUUAAUUUAUUUUAUAUUUUUAUUUUAUUUUUAAUAUCAUUACAUCAAUAUUAUUAAAAAAACACAAAAAAAUAUUAAUUUAAUGUUUUUUCAUGUUAAAUAUAUUUUUAAAAUACAUCUAAAUAUAGUUUUUAUCCGAUCUCUGUUUGAGAGUGUAGCUCAAAUGAAAGUUUGUAAAAAUUCAAAAAAAUAUUUUUUUAAAAAAUAUUUUUUAUGUUUUUAAAUCACUUUGAUAUAUUAAUAUUUAAAAAAUUAUUUUAAUAUAUUUAUAAAUAAAAAAUACUUUAAAAAAUAACAUAUCAAAUACUCUUUCGUACUCUUUCGUAGGACUCUUAACGAGUAUAAUUUUUCACAAAUUUUCACAAAUACAACUGUCUAUUCCUCCUUUCGAUGAGAAGCCUUAAUCCAAUAUUUGACCUGAUCAGUUUCUUCUUUACCUUCUCUUUAUGUCACAUUAAUUUUCAUCAAUAAAUACCCCCAACAAACUUACCAACUGCCCCUUCUUGUUCACAACUCUCCCUCCCUCCCUCCCUCCCCUCCAUGCACUGUUUCUUUCUCUAUCUCAAAACAAGCAAGGGUGUUUUUCUCAUUGGAACUCUCCACUACUAGUCCAAAAUGUCACGCAAAGCAAGCAAGCGAUUAAGUUUCAGUCCUGAUGAAAAUGAUAAGCCAACAAUCUUUCUUAAACAUGGAAGUGGAACAAGGGUAGGUGGAAACAGGAAGAAGAUUGCUGGAAUUUUCUCUUUUAGGCUUCCUAGAACCUCAAAAUUUUCACCAGCAAGACUACUAAGGCGCCUCGGAGCUAAGGUAGCAAGAGUUCUACGUUUUGUGUCCAUGGGAAGGAAAUCUUCACGUAAGGUUACUUCAUCAAGUUUGCCAAGAUCAAGAUCACUUGCUGAGGCAGUAGACUCUCAACGAGCUGAAGCUAUUGAAGAUUGCAUUGAGUUCCUAAAUUCUUCAUCCUCUUUGCAGAGGUCAAACUCAGUUUCUACAAAUUCUUAUUAGACUCUGCUGUCAAGAGAAAAAUAUGUAUAUGAAAUGAACAAAAAGUUCAUAUUAUUUCAUUGAUCAUUAGUAGUUUCUUAGUUUCUAAUAGAGAAGUAGGCAAAUACAAGAGGAAUCGGUACAAAUAGCAACAGCCACUGAUAUGUUUAUGCAUAGAGUUCGAGUAUCAAGAAUCUUUUGCAUAUAUACGGGGUCACGUCUUGAGUCUAAUUCUCUCACGGCAUAGGAUACACCUUUGAAGCCGAACAAGACAAUAAGUUUCAUGUAAGACACUUCGACAGCAUACAACUAAUGGAAACAUGACCAUUCCAAGGGUGGGCCAACCUAGAGGGUCGAGCCUAUCUAGCACUAAAAGGCUGAAUCACUAUCAUGGCACUUACUGAUCAAAUAUCCCAUGUGGAUUCACUUUUUUCAUUGUUUUCUUACGAAUAAAUUUAAAUUAGCCAGCUAGCUCAAUACACUCUAUCACAGUGCUUGAGUCAUGGACGCACAGUGCAGACAAUGCUUUCAAUAAUGGGAACGGUUCAAUAAUUUUCCCGUAAUCAUGUCCACGCAUUGUUCUUGACACUAAUUUGUCUGAACAUUAUCCGCAGAGAAUUUGAUAGAAAAAAGUAGCACUAUGAGAGAGAGCACUUACCACUAAUCAUUGAAUGUCCAGUAAGAGCACGCUAGCUAGUAAAAAGAAAACUAACAAUUCCAGAUUCGUUUCCUCAUGUGCAAGGAAUAGCAUGAAAUGAUACAUUUAACAAUUGACUGAGAGCUUUCGAAAGUUCUCAGAUGCAAUAACUUGAAAUUUUAUAAUUUCAAAAGCUCUCUUACAGGGAAGGGCAAUUUGGGAUCAUAUGGAAUCCAAGCUCCAAAAGUGCUGAUUCCUUGGCACUUUCUGUUGGUGAUUAAACUUGUUUCUUGAAAACCAAGAGCAUUAAAGUCAGUUUUAAUAAACUGACAUGAAAGUCAAUUUAAUGAGUGAAAUAUUCAUUUAAAAUCUUUCAAGUUUGUAAAAGUCUAUAUAUAUAUAUAUAUAUAUAUAUAUAUAUAUAUAUAUAUAUAUAUAUAUAUAUGAAAUUGUCAUAAUAAAAGGUGUGAGAGUACUAAUUUUUAGUGUCUUGUAUUCCAAAAAAAAGUAAAAAAUGUGAUGUGAAAGCUUCUUAUGAGUGUUAUACAAUUCCUCCUCCUCUUCUAAGUGAUAUUUUCUAACAAAUUUGAGCUUGAGAGUAAUCAUGGUUUCUAGUAAUAACAGUACUCAAAUUCAUAUUCCUCAUCUUACAAAAGAAACUUAUGAUUUAUGAUGUAUUCAGUACAAGGCAUCGUUGAGAUCACAAAAAUUAUAGGAGUUAGUUAAAGAUGAUUAUAAUGAACCAGAAUCAACAAGAGAAUAGGAAGCAAUGAGCAAUACAAAAAAAACAAGAUUUGAGAGAAUCAAGAAAGAAGAAUAAUAAAGCUCUAUUCACCUUUUAUCAAGGGCUUGAUGAAGCAACUCUUGAGAUGAUGGCACUUGCAAAGAUUUCAAAGGAAACAUAAUUCUUAAUAAGACUUAUACUGAAGUUGAAAGGUUAGAAAGGGUACGAUUGCAAACAUUGAGAGAAGAUUUUUAGAACCUAAAUAAAGAAAGUAAUGAAACAAUUUCAUAUUACUUCACAAAAGUAAUCUCUUUAGUACAUCAAAUGAGAAUGAAUGGUGAAAAUAUUGAUGAUGUUCGUGUGAUGGAGAAGAUCUUGAGGUCUUUGGAUUUAUGUGGUAGUAACAAUUGAAGAAUUAAAGGAUUUUGAAGAUUUGACAAUAGAAGAACUUAAAGGAUCUUUUCAAGCUCAUAAACAGAAAAUUGAUAAAAGAGAAGGAAGAUCUCUUGAGAAAGUAUUACAUAAAAAUUUAACUAUAAAGAAUGUUGCUAGAUCUAGUAGAGGAUCAUUUCAAAUAAGAAGAUUCUUCUACAGAAUAGAAAGAGGAGGAAGAUCAUCCAGAAAUCAAUAAACUUAAGGAAUAAGAAAUCAAAGUUUCAACUUCAGAAGAUGUGGUAGAAGAAGAGGGAGAAGUCGCGGUGGAUAUUAAAAUUAAAGGAAUAAUAAUGCAAAUGUUCAAUGUUAUAAUUGUAAGGAGUAUGAUCAUUUCGCUUCAGAUUGUUCACAAUAUAAAUUUGAAGAUAAAAGUGUUAACUUUGCCGAGAAGGGACCUGAUUCUGAAGACUUGCUUUGCUGUUGGCUUGUGGAAAAUUUGAUGGUAGUAACUCCAACACAUGGUAUUUAGAUAUAGGAGCAUCUAAUUAUAUGUGUGGAAUGAAGGAAGUAUUUUUUUAUCUAGAUGAGAAUUAUACAGACAAUAUUGCUUUGGAGAUCUUUCACAAAGACUUGUUGAAGGAAGAGGCAGAAUUCUAAUUGAGCUUAAGAAUGGUAAGCAAAAGUUCAUUUCAAAAGUGUUUUACGUUCCAGAUAUGAAGAGCGAUAUUCUAAGUUUGGGACAAUUUCUGGAGAAAGGUUUUGCAGUGCAGAUGAAAGAUAAGAAUCUGAUAAUUUUUUAUGAAUCUAGAGUUGUAAUUGCUUCUGUAAGAAUGACAAAGAAUAAAAUGUUUCCUCUAGAUUUGAAUAAAUAUCAGUCAAACUAUUUUAAGGCAGAAACAAUCAAUAUGUCAAAUCUUCGACAUUUGCGUUAUGGUCAUUUAAAUUAUGGAUCAUUUAUAUUAUUAGAGAAGAACUAAAUGGUUCUUGAAAUACUAAAGAUAGAUCACACAAAUAGAAUGUUUGAAGUUUAUGUAAUGGAAAAUCAUAACACAAAGCCAUUUCUAAGAAGAAGUUUAAAAGCAUCUCAGCCUCUUGAUCUAGUGUAUUCAAACAUGUGUGGCCCUACCAAACCUAUUUUAAUUGGUGGUAAAAGGUACUUUCUUACUUUCAGAGAUGAUUUUAGUGGUAAGACAUGAAUGUAUGUAUUAAAAUAAAAGAAGAAAGUGUUAAACAAAUUUAAAGAGUUCAAAAACUUAGUAGAAAAUCAAAGUGAAUGCAAACUGAAGUGUUUAAGAAUAGAUAAGGGUAGAAAGUAUAUUUUACAUGAUUUUGAUGUUUAUUGUAAAGAAAAUGGUAUUAUGCAUUAGCUUACUAUGCCUCAAACCCUACAACAUAAUGAGGUGUCUAAAAGGAAGAAUGGAAGCAUUAUGAAUAUGGUUAGAUGUAUGUUGAAAAAAAAAAUUGUCUAAAAGAAUUUUUGGAGAUGUAAUAAUGUGCGUUAUGCAUAUAUUAAAUAGGUUUCCUAUAAAGAGACUUUAGAAUAUUACACCAGAAGAAGUAUGGAGUUUGAAGAAACCAAGAGUUAAGCAUUUGAGAAUUUUUUGCGGUAUUUCAUAUGCCAAAAUCUAAGAAGAAAAAAGAGCCAACCUUGAAGAUAAAAGCCAAAAAUAUAUAUUGCUGGGAUAUGGAGAAAAUUUGUAUGGUUACAAAUUGUAUAAUCCAAUAACCAAGAAGGUUAUUAUGUCAACAGAUGUGAAGUUUGAUGAAGAGAAACUAUGCGAUUGGAAUAUUGAAAAUCAACCAUGGAGACUAACAGUAGAAGAAGAACAAGUUCAAAAUGACAAAAAAGAAAUCUAGUCUGCACCAUCUCCGCUUACUUAGGUUGAUACUCUUGCUAGUCUUUAAAGUCUAGCUUUAAAAAACACAAAGGGCAUAUAAGAAAUAUAUGAUGUAACAAAAGGAAGCAACCUUGAUGAUGUUAGUAUGUUUUGCUUCUUUUCAAGUAAUGAUCCUGUUACCUUUAAAGAAUCUUACCAAUAAGCUAAAAGGAAUAAGGUAAUGAAGGAGAAAAUCAAUUCUAUCAAAAAGAAAAAUAUAUGGGAGUUGACAACACUUCUAGAAAGAUACAAUACAAUAGAAGUGAAAUGGAUCUUCAAAACUAAAAGGAAUGAAGUGAAAUGGAUCUUCAAAACUAAAAGGAAUGCAAAAGGAGAAGUUGAGAAAUAUAAAGCCAAAUUACUAGCAAAUGGCUGUAAGCAAUAAUAUGGAGUUGACUAUAAAUAUUUUUUUUUCUCCAGUUGCAAGGAUAGGAAUAGUAAGAUUGAUGAUUUUUUUGAUAGCUAAAAAAAAAUAGAAGUUGUAUCCGAUGAAUGUCAAAUCAGCCUUUCUAAAUGGCACCUUUGAAGAGGAAGUAUACGUAGACCAACCACCUAGUUUUGUGGUUAAAAAAUAAGAAAAGGUUUAUAGAUUAAAGAAAUCUCUUUAUAGGCUUAAAGAAGCACCAAGAGCAUGAAAUUCCAUAAUUGAUGGCUAUCUUACAAAGAAUGAAUUUGUUAGAUUUCCUUAUGAACAUUCCUUAUAUGUGAAAAUAAACUUACAAGGCAAAGUGAUGUUUGUUUACUUGUAUAUUGAUGAUCUAAGUUUUACACGUGACGAUUUCAUUAUGAUUCAGGAUUUCAAACAAUCUAUGGUGAAGGAAUUUGAAAUGAUAGACUUAGGUCUCAUGACUUAUUUUCUAGGAAUAAAAGUGAAGUGGUGUAGUAAUGAAAUUUUUAUUUCACAAAUCAAGUAUGCAGCAGAGGUGUUGAAGAAGUUUGCUAUGGAAGACUAUCAACUUAUAGAUAAUCCAGUCGAGCAUAGAAUCAAAUUAACUAAAGAAAGGGAAUGAGAUUUAGUGAAUCCAACAUACUAUAAGAGUAUUACGGGAUGUUUGCGAUAUUUAACAUGUGCCAGGCUAUAUAUUUUAUUUGGAGUUGGUUUGAUUAGGUGGUAUAUAGAAAGACCAAGAAGCUCACAUCUAAAGGCAACAAAGAGGAUUUUGUGUUUUGUUAAAGGAUCAUUAAGCUAUAGUUUAUUUUACUCAUUUUCACAAAAUCUUAAGAUCACAAGUUACAAUGAUAGUGAUUGGGUUGGAAAUCUUGAAGAUAGGAAGAACACAACUGGUUUUGUGUUUUAUAUGGAAAAUGCAACCUUUACAUGGUCAUCCAAAAAACAAUCAAUUGUUGCUUUGUCAACAUGUCAAGCAGAAUACAUUGUUGCAACCUCUUGUGUAUGUCAUGCAAUAUGGUUAAGAAAGCUAUUAGAAGAUUUACAAUAAAAGCAGAAUGAAGCUACCAAAAUUUUUAUUGUUAACAAGUCUGCUAUUGCUUUAGCAAAAGAUCCAGUUCAUCAUGAAUGUUCAAAGUAUAUUGAUACAUGUUUUUAUUUUAUAAGGGAGCAUGUAAAAGAAGAAGAUGUGAAGUUGGUUCAUUUCAGAACUUAUGAACAAGUUGUUGAUAUUGUUACAAAACCAUUAAAGACAAAUAUGUUUUAUUACUUACAGAAGAAGCUUGGAGUUAUAAAGAUGAAUAAAACAAGUUUAAGAGGGGAGAAUGUCGGUGAUUAAACUUCUUUGUUAAAAACCAAGAACAUUAAAGUCAGUAUGAAUUAGUGUUAGUUUAAUUAGUCAAAUUUUCAUUUAAAAUCUUUGAAGUUUGUAAGCUUGGAGUUAUAAAGAUGAGUGAAACAAGUUUAAAAGGGGAGAAUGUCAGUGAUUAAACUUGUUUGUUAGAAACAAAGUACAUUAAGUCAGUAUUAAAAUAAAGUGACAUGAAAGUCAGUAAUGUUAUGGAAUUAAUGUUUGUUUAAUUAGUCAAAUUUUCAUUUAAAAUCUUUGAAUUUUGUUAAAGACAUUCUUAAAUGUCUAUAUAUAUAUAUAUAUAUAUAUAUAUAUAUGGAAUUCUUAUAAUAAAAAGUGUGAGAAUACUAAUAUUUAAUGCCUUGUAUUCCACUAAAAAUAUGUGUCUGUUAACGAAAGCUUCUUAUGAGUGUUAUAUAAUUCAUCUGAGUGAUAUUUGCCAACACUUUUGGCACCAAAUAUGGUCAGCUAGCAUCAUACCUAAUGAGGUCCCUAUGAGCUAAAAAUGAGAUAAAUAACUUAAUUGGUCCAUUAAAUGAUCAUUACUGCAAUCAUUUUUGCUAAAAUUACGAUCUAAUAGAGAAAAGGAGAAAUUGAUAAGUCACCAAUUGAGCUAGUAAUUCGCCUACUAUUGCCCAAUAUUUUUUGCCAAUGGGUCGAAGAAUAGAGGCUAAGGUAAAUAAGAAUUUUUAGCUGAAAAUUGCAAAAGGUUUGAGCAAAUUAAUUCUUUCAUUCUUCCAAAUAAAUGACAUGUGUACGUUUUGAAAAAAUAAGAUAAAUAACUUGAUCGAAAUGAUCAUUACUGUAAUUUUUUUGCUACAACUACGAUCUAAUGGAGAAAAGAGGAACUUGACAAGUCACUAGUUGAACUAGUAAUUCGCCUACUGUUACCCAAUACUCUUUACCAAUGGGUUGAAGAAUAGAAGCUAAGGUAAAUAAGAAUUUUUAGCUGAAAAUUGAAAAAGGUUUAAGCAAAUUAAUUCUUUCAUUCUUCCAAAUAAACAACAUGCUUAUUUUUUUUAUUUUUUAGAUGAAUAGAUAGCAUUCCCUAGAACUAACAAUGAAAGAAACUUUUUAUGGUAAGACAAAUUAAUAGGAGAGUAGGGACAACCUGCACUUUCUAUGCAAAGCUAGAUUAACAUUCCAGUACGACCCAAGACAAUAUGUAUGGUGGUAAAACUUGUGCAUGUUAUGUUUUCAAGUCUUCAAGUCCUGCCUUUAUAUUAGCCUAUGAAAACAACUUUUUAGUUGUAUUAGCCAUGGUUUCGACAUCAUCUAAACUAUUAAUAUGGCUUUGCAUAUGUACUACAUGGACCCAAGAUAGAUUAGCUCCUUUGCAUAUGUACUUUGACCCUCUAAAACCAUUGAAAAAUUGGUGUAAAGAGAAUAGCCCUAACAUGCUUGCCCAAAGUAUACAACCAUGGUAGAGGAUUGAGAUUGAUCGAAGGAAACUAAUGGCAAUGAUCAUUCAAAUAAGAAAGGUUCUAGUAGUUUCAUCAUUUUCUAUAAAUAAGAGGCAAAACAAGAAAUAAAGGGAACCAAACUAGAGAAAGAAAAAUGCCAAGAAAAAAGAGAGAAAAAAAAGAGUUCUGAGUUGAGAAAAGUGUGGGUUUGAUCUAGAAAGAAAUAUACGAGAAAGAAGAAGAAAGAGAGAAAGAAAAGGAACCCCGAAUGUAAAGAAAAGCCUAAAGAGUGAGUGUGGGUUUUUGAGCUAAAAACAUAUGUGUUCUAAGCCAGCUAAUAUUAAAGGGGUGAAGAAGAAUAAGAGUGAAAUAAAAUGAAAGAAAAAAAAGGAAAGAAAAAAAAACCAAAGAGAGAAAGAAAGCCAAAGGUAAAGAGACAAAACCACUUUAAAACCCUAGCACCUCCAGCAAGUUACGGUCUACACCACCAGUAACCACCACUUCAAAUCCUCCCAUAUUUGGAACUACCCCUAAGUUAAGCCCGAGUCUUCUUCCCUCUCUUAUCUUUUUUCAUGAAAGUUUUGCAUUCAAGUUUAGUAUUCAAAUUAAAAAAUAACGAACAUGUUAUUGUUCAUACAUGAACACUAUUCAUUCAUGCAUUUUUAUUGUUAUUUUAUUAGCUUCGCGUUAAUGUUAUCAUCAUUUUGUAAAAUUACACAUUUUUCUUUUUAUGUAUGUAUCUGUGUGUAAAUAUUCAUUUUAAAAAAGGAACAAAAAUUAUCUCAACGAGUUUUUCAUCAACUUAGUGUCAUGUUUUUUUGCUGACCUUUGUUUUUAAUGGUUAGGUAGAUAUGUCUCCUAGUUUGUAGGGAACGAUGUGGGCUAACGUGAUGUUUUUAACAUUGAAAUGAUUUUAAUAAUGAGUUGCAAAUUUUUUUAAGCUAGAGACAUUUUGAAAACUUGAAUUUCAUUGGUUAUGUCAACAUAUAUCCUAUUUUUAAGGAUCAAUGUAGGCAUAAUGUGAUAUUCUUAAAUAAAAAAUAAGUCCAUGAAUCUCCUUUAAGUAGGUAGUGAUAUGGGAUAAGCAUAGUUUUCUUUUCAAAAAAAUUUUCAAAAUUUUUUUGUAAGAAAAUAAAUAAAUAAUGAUAAAAAUGUUAAGAAAUAUUUAUAAAUAAAACUAAAAAAUUAUCAAGUUGGGAGACUCUUGAUUCAGGGCCUAAUGCUAACUUGAUGAACAUCCACCAACAAUAAAUAAUUUAUGAAUAAGCUCAUAAGAUAAUUUAGACAUGUGAUGAAAUAGUAAACUAAAUUUCAGAGAAAACACAUGGAAAAGAUAACCUUUCUUUGAAAUAAUAUAGUAAGGGUGAUGUAUAUCUUUCCUUAAACAUAAGUAACCCCUUACUUGAAUUUUUGAAACCAAUUUAUAUUUUAGAAUUCUUUUCUUAAAGAACUAAGUAGGGACUUUAUUUUCCAUGUCUUCCUUUAAUUUUUUAAUUUUUUUUUUCAUGUUGAGUGUGACAGAAUGACGACCUCAUUGGGAAUGUUAGGAUUAGGUCUAUAUAUAUAUAUAUAUAUAUAUAUAUAUAUAUAUGUGUGUGUGUGUGUGUGUGUGUCUUUUAAUGCCUUCAUUGUCAUUUAUUUUUAAGCAUUUAUUUUAUUUAUUUUGUUUAAUUUUAUUCAUUUAUUUAUGUUGUUUGUUGUUGUGUUUAUUUAAUCUACUGAAUUGAACGUACAUGCAUAUUAUUUUUCAAAUUUUCAUACACUUCACAAAAACCUAAUAAAGACUCUAGACCCAAGUUCAUCCCUUUUAGAAUUAGAUAGGGAAAUUUAAGUGCUGAAUGUGAUUUAUAUCUAUCAAUGUCACUUAAACUUCUACUUAGAUUGGAACUCAUCAUAUACAUUUGGGUAUUAUGAAGUUAUUCCUUAACUCAUGUUGUAUAAUUUGGAUAAUCUAGGAACCUAAAAAAUCUUUAGGGAUAGACCAGCUGAGCCAAACCUUUAUAUGAGCUAGAUUAUAUUCGCUAAGGUUGACUCUCGAUAGGACAUGAAUUAUAUCAUGAUAAAUCACAUUCAUUAGUGCUUAGAGUGGUAUUACCAUUUCUCCACUGACCCUUAUAAAAAAUGUAAGAUGUUCGGACAUAUUAAGAUUACCACUGAAAAUAUGGAGAUUAGGUCAAAAAGACAAGUAUGAUAAGGGAGAUUUCUUAUCGAUGAUGUUUAAAUCUAGAUUACUAGACUGAGUGAAGCUCAAAGACAUGAUGCCUAAUAUCAGUCAACUAUUGGAUUGUUAGGAGAUGUUAUCUCUACAAGACCAGAUUAACUUCAAAAAAAGUAUGGAGAUAUAGCUUAACUACUCAAGAUUCGACUAUAACCCUCAUAUUUCUAGGUUAUGAUAAGGUUAUGGGACCUAAAAUACAAAUUUCUUACUUUUGAUAUUGUAGACAUGACUCAUAUUCUCGAGGAGUAUAAUUAUCUUUUGGGUUGUCCAAAAUUAUACUUGGUGUAAUUGUAUACGCUAAGAGAACAAGCUCCAUCAAAUUAUGCCUAGUUGACCAAAGCAGACCAUAUGACAAUGGAAGAGCAUAUAACCAAGCAAGGUUUCAAUCAAGGUUGGUUAUAAAACAUAUUGAAACCCAUAUUUAAAAUGAGAUUCCAAGAUAAAGAAAAUGAAACUAAUUUGAAGAAUUUAACUUUAGGCAUUUAGGGUUUAAUCAUUUUCUCGUUAAUAGAAGAAGUGAUUGACUUUAAGGCUACCAAUAUAUUCAAAAGUGAGGUCUCCUUUAAGAUUAAUCUAGUAGCAGCAGUAUUAGUCGAGACCUUUUCAUCUUUUAAUUGUUAUAGAAAAAAAAAAGGGCCACUUGAGAUGUUGAUGGUAGUUAUCUAUUUAGACAAUGAGCCUUAUGGUAGAUAAGAAUAUAUCAGGUUUAUUUGGAACACCAUGUCAUUUAUGUUUAAUGUUAGAAAAUUUAUUGAGCACAUACUAAAAGAGUAGGGAAAGACUACGUAGGAGCUGAUGGUUUUAAGCUUGUGAAAAUCUUCAUUUCAUUGGAUGAUAUAAUAUGUUUAUUUUCAAUCUUAUCUUACAUGCUAUGGUGAUUACUCAUAGGUCCUGUUGGUGGGCGCUCAAUAUUGCAUUAGUUAUUUCCCUAACAUGGUCAUAUGAUAGUUACGAUUUGAGCAAUUCAUUUUGAGAACCACUUGUUUAGCUUAGUUUUUAUAAAGAAUUUAAAGUUUUGAUUAACUUACUAGAAUUAGUAAAACAAGCUUAGAAGCACCCUAGAAUGGUCAUUACUACUAGAAGAGUCGAUGGUAAGGUUACUCUUGGGCAUCUAAUGUGGAAACAAAUAAAAGAAAAUGGGUACUAAAUUCCAUCUUUUGAGGGUCCAAAGAGAUUGAUGGCUUAGACCAUGAAAGAUAUUUAGAAGGAGAUCCAAGCAUAAUAAGAGUCUUACAAUCCUGGUUUAAACUCAAAUUUAAGGGGGAUGGGUGCCAAAGAAUAAAAUUAUUGGCCAAUUUUACAACUCAAGCAUGUGAUUUUCAUCAUGGAAAGAGAAAUAGAUGACAACAAUAUGCUUUUAAGGAAUUUCAAGCAUAAUUAAAAAGGAUAUUAUAAGUUUAAAGGGAGCAAGACCACAGGGUAAAAGAAAUGGUACAUACAACAUUGGUAAUUAACUAGAAAGCUUAAAAAAAAGAAAAGGUUAGAAAUCAAGCUAAAAAAUGCCCAAAAUGAGGUUAAAGGAUUGGAGAAAACAAAAAAGAUGCUUCAAGAACAAUGUCACUAGCAAUCAGAGUUGAUCACAUAGUUGGAUGACCAUCUAUGAGAGUUAGUUAGCUAGAGGAUGAAUUUAUCUCAACAAGGCAAACUCUGACAGAUAAGAGAGAUGAUGCAAAAAAAGAAAGCACACCAUUGCGCUUCCAAAACUAUACAUUAUCACAUUCAAUCUAAAGAUGCCAAGAAUUAUGUCAUAAGAUUGAAGGGCAUAUUUAGCAGAGGAUUAAUGAGCUUUAAGAGAUAAACUCAUAUACUACUUUGGUUAGAUUCAAGAUUGCAUCAAUAAAGUCAUACCAUAUCUCGGUUUAAAAGUAUAGAAGGAAUGAAUGAAGUAGCUUUGUUUAGGACAAUAGUUUUUAGAACAAAGUUGUAUUAUACAAGCUUUGUAAAUUAUUAUUUUGGAUUAAUAAAAAGAUGUUUUAACACAUUUUCUAAACAUCGAAUGAUUUGCUUGGUAUCUGAUGAUUAGUUUAUGCUUAAAUAAGUUCAUGUGAUAAAAAUCAUCGGUGAUAACUUGUUGGAAAAUUCUCUCCUGAGUUAGAGUUAGGAAAUAUAAGAGAUAGGGUUUUAAGUAUAAUUAGAGGAUUCAAUAAGAGAUAGUAGCCAUCUUUUAUAUAUAUAUAUGUGUGUGUGUGUGUGUGUGUGUGUGAUAUCUCACAUCGGAAGCGAGCGUCCAGAGCCAGGACCUUAUUAGUGGUGUUGGUUGCUAACAUGUUGUACGCGUUUUGGGGCUAUGCGUGACUGUCAAGAACAAAACAGUGAGGGGGACCUGGGUAGAAGCCCUAGAAAUGGGUGGACUAGGAGGCCUAAAGCGGACAAUAUACAGCCUGUUGGGUCAGGCUGUUACAUUUGGUAUCAGAGUCGAGGACGGCUCGUUUUAAGAUGGGGGGAUUGUGAUAUCCCACAUCGGAGCAAGCGUCCAGAGCCAGGGCAUUAGUGGUGUUGGUUGCUAACAUGUUGUACGCGUUUUGGGGCCAUGCGUGGCUGCCAAGAACAAAACCGUGAGGGGGACCUGGGUAGAAGCCCUGGAAAUGGGUGGACUUGGGGGGCCUAAAGCGGACAAUAUACAGCAUGUUGGGCCAGGCUGUUACAAUAUAUAUAUAUAUAUAUAUAUAUAUAUAUAUAUAGUUGUAUACAAUAACAAACAUACAAUGCACUACACAUAAUCAUAAUUCUAUACAAGGUAAAAAUAUAAAUAUAAAGGAAAUUCCAAAAUCCCAUAAUACGCCUCCUUAAGCUAAAGGUGAGGACUCCACACAAAGCUAUGACCGUAAAUAGGCAAAGAAAGCAUGAGGAAAAGGUUUUUUUUAAAAAAACAUCACGUAAUUGAUCUUAAUAAGAGAUAAACCAAACUUGAAUCUCUUUUUUAGCAACUUUAUCAUAAAUAAAAUGAUAGUCAACCUCACUAUGCUCAGUAUAAGAAUGAAAAAUAGGAUUCAUAGAUAGAUAUAUAACACUCAAAUUAUCACACUAUAAUGUAGUCAUGGGAGUAAAAGCAAGCUAAAGUUCUGAAAACAAAGAACGAGUCCAUAAAAGUUUAGUAUAUCAUCAGCUAAAGCCUUGUAUUCGAUUUCCAUCAAAGAGCGAGCAAUUGUUCUUUAUUUCCUAGACUUCCACGAUAUAGGUGUAUUGUCGAGAUACACAAGAUAGUUUUAGUGGAAUUUUGAUCACCAACACCGCCACCCUAAUUGGUAUUAGUGAAACCAUGUAAAGAAAAUGAAUAUCCACGAGUGAUGUGUAAACCAUAGGAGGUUGUAGCCUUUCAAUAAUUCAUGAUGCGUUUGACCCUAGCUUAAUGAGCAUCAAAAUGAGCAUGUAUAAACUGACAUGCCUUACAUAUAACAUAAGAGAUAUAAGGUUUGGUAAAUAUGAGAUAUUAAAGAGAACCCAUGAUAUGUCUAUAACGUGUAUGAUUAGAGUAUAGAGCAAUGAACAUCAUGACCAGCUUAGAAGAAGAGGAUAUAUAUGUCAAUAUGUUUACAAGAAGAUAUAUAUGCUUUGUGAAGGAUAUCAAAAGUAUACUUGUGUUAUAUGAGCAUGAGUCCUAUAAAGGUAGGUUUAACUUCAAUUCCUAAGAAGUAAUGUAUAAAACCUAAGUCUUGCAACUUAAACUCUGAGCUUAAUAAAUCAAUCAAAUGUUUGAGCAUAACUAAAGUGCUUCAGGUAAGCAAAAAAUCACCAGUAUACACAUGUAAGCAAAAAUAUAUCAUCUCCUACAAAUAAAGUGAAAAGAAAGGUAUCCAUUUUAGAAGUAUGAAAGCCAAUAAAGAGAAGAUAAUCACUUAAAUGAUUGAACCUUACCCAAGAAGCUUGUUUCAACCCAUACAGAGACUUAUAAAAGUGACAUAUAUGAAAGGAAAUAGUAGGAUGAAUAAAACCAAAUGGUUGUUUCAUAUACACCUCUUCUUAAAGUAUCUCAUUCAAGAAAACAUUAUGAUCAUCAAGCUGAUUAAUCAAAUAACCGUGAGAUACGACAAUGUAAGAACUAAUCAUAUAGUAACAGGCUUAACUGUAGGACUAAAGGUUCCUAAAUAAUUAAUUCCCUACUAUAGAGUAAGCCCUCUAGAAACUAAACAAGAUUUGCAUCUCUUAAUGCUACCAUCAUCUCACCUCUUAAUCUUAUACACCCAAUGACUAUUAAUAACAUUCAUAGAAGAAUGAAGGAAACUAGAGUCCAUGUACCGUUUGAGUGCAGAACAUUAAUCCUCUCUUGCAUGGCAUGAUGCCAUGAUGAAUAUUUAGCAUCGUCCUAAAAGGUCAUUGAUUCAUAUUCAUGAGGAGAAGUGAUCCAUGAGACUCAAGAGAGAGUUAUACAAAGAUUAACAAUCUUGGUUUUUUUAGGCAAAUGACCAUGGAAUGCUACCAUAGGAUUUGAAUUAGAGAUAUUGGGUUAACAUUUGUAACCUAUUUACGAGAACAUUUAGAGAUAUUAACCACCAUAUUUAACCUAGAAGGUGAUAAUUGUGAAGGAAAACUUAAAGUUAAGCUAGACCGUGCAAGAGGUGAUGAAACAUGUGAAACUUGAUGACAUAAAGAAAUAGAGUUUGUAAUUUGAGAAAUAGAAACUAUACUUGGGCAGUGAACAAUAAAGGUAGAACCAUGUAGAGGUAGAUUAUCAUGAUAUUGUUUAUUGAAAUGGAUCGAGGAGAGGGAGUAUGUGUAGAGAAUGGUUUAGGAUAUUGAGAUGGAAAAAAUGUCAAAUAUGGUAGAGAUUUACUUAUGGAUAAUGUAGGUAAUGAUACUAUCUAUUAAGAAUUCUCAAAUAGGAACAUAUUUUCAUGAAAUCUAAAAUGUCGAGAAAUGUAUAUUCAUUUUAAGGACAAAUCAAGGCAUCAAUAACCCAAGAAACAUACAAGAAAUAGAUAAAAAAAUCUAACUUAUGAGCAUUAUAUGGAUGAAAGAAUAGAAAACAUAUACACUUGAAAGUACGAAGAAAACUAUAACCCGUGAAAGACUGAAAAAGGGUUUCAAAUGGUAUGUUAUAAUUUUCAACACAACAAUUAGCAUACGAUUAAUUAGAUAAAUAGAUGUUUCAAAUGCAUAACUCUAAAAUUCUAAGGUGUUUUUCAUUAAACAAGAAGUGAGAUUAGUUUUCACAAUAUAUCGAUAGUGACUUUUAACAGUGUUAUUUUGUUCAUAAGUGUUGUUACUCAAUUUUGGACCCCGCGUGCUGGAGAUGGUGUAUACCCGUUUUGAACCGAGUGUAGGAGUGUAGCUCAUGUUUGCUGGAAAAUUGACAAAAACGGAGGAGAAAAAAAUAUUUUUUUUGAACCCUGUUUGAGUUGUUUUCUACUCUUUUUAUCCUCCCCCUUUCCUGCCAAAAUCAUCAGGUUUCUUAGACUGACUAGGGGUCUUUAUAAUGCUAAAUUUUUUCCUUCGUUAUCUUGUUUUUAAGGUUGGAUAGAUCCCUCAGAAUUUGCACUAAAAAAAACUGAUUCUGCUGCUGUUGCAAUUUGAAAUGCUUGAUUUUGAUAUUAGAAGCUCAAGAUAUUCAUGUUUGAAAUCUAGCGUGAAAACAUAGAAUCCUGUCGCGAUAAGGUUUCCAGCUGAGUUUGGUUGUAAUUCUGUUAUUCAAAAUGAAUUUAUCUCAUUUUUUAUCCUUUAUGAAAGUUGUAGCUCUACAAGUGUAGAUUAAUUUAGGACUUUUGAAUUACUUGAUUUCGAUAUCAAAAGUUCAUAAUAUUCCUGUUUGAAUAUCUAACGUGAAAGUAGAGAAUUCUGCCGCGAGAAGGAUCCUGACCCGAGUUUUGCACUAAAAACUCUAUUUUCAUCACAAAUUUUAUUGAUUUGUUCUUAGGUCAUACUCUCAGUCAUAUCGGGAUUCUCGGCAUUGUCAGUUUCUGAAUUAGAUCAGGAGACCCUUGUUAAUCAACCAGAUUACUGCCAGAUUCUGUUCUCUAAAACGAUUUUAUCUCACUUUGACUCCUUCAUCAAAGUUUUAGUCCUGGAUGCGUAGAUAAAUUUGGGCUUUUGAAUCGCUUGAUUUCGAUAUCAGAAGCUCAAGAUAUUCCCGUUUGAAUAUCUAGUGUGAAAGUAGGGAUUCCUGCUGCGAGAAGAAGUUUUGCCCGAGUUUGCAGGGACACAAUUGCAAAAUGCUUAAAGUUUGAAGAUCAAUUGUAGGCCAAUUUGAAGCCCUUUUUUGGACCAGGGACCAAAUGGAAAAGGUGCUAAAAUAAAGAAGUUGAGUGAAGAUAAAAUUAGAAAGAAAUUUUGCCGGAUGAAGAAAUUGAAGAGCAGAGAUUUGAUCAGAAAAGGAAAAUAGGGGAGUUGAUCACGUUUUGCUCUCAUUUUUACGACGUCGUACUACCUUUUGUUUUGACACAAACUGCACAGCCCCUUCAGGAAGAUAUAAUUAAUAUAACACUGUCCAUUGUCAUUUUGAGAACAACCCCCCCGGUCUGAUUUCUUUCCUGCAUAAACCUUCCUGGCUGAGUUAUUUCCUUUUUUUCUCUGUAAUUUCCUGCUGGUUUCCAUGUUUCUCUCGUUGGAUUGGAGAGCUGCAGACCACGUUUUUAUUGCCUCAUUUCAAAGGAAACAGUUGGUGCCUCAUGGUCCUAGCUAUGAAAGGAAAGAAAGGAGCCGCACCAUCCAUUAAAAUAUCGGAAAGAAAUCAUAUAUGAUCACAGAAUCAGAAUCAAAAUAUUUUGGUUUCCUAUUUCUGCUCACCCAAGAUUACACCCUAGAGUUAAUGUAAUAUUUGUUUCCUAAAUAGAGCUACAUUUUAGGUUAUAUAAGCCUCCUCUACUGGGGAAGUGGAGGGACGAAAAAAAAAAGAGAAAAAGAAAGGAGAGAACAGAGAAAAACAAGAAAAGAAAGACAAGAAGAAACGAGAGAGAGGCAGGGCAGAGAAAGCCAUAAGAACGACACUGUCGAAAGCAAGGAAAACACAGAGGCAAGGGCGCCAACUCCACCAGCACAACACGCCUUCAUCGCCAUCAUCUUCGUCAUCUCGAGAGAAAGCAUCAGCAGAAGGAGAGAAAAUGAACAAAGACCAAAACCAGCAUGGCCAUCGCUUUCGCUGUCCCCAGAAGCAGCAACCAUUGGCUGAGCGCAGAAGCUUCAGCACCUAUCGUCUUCGUCCGUCUCAGCGCUAGCUUUCAAGAAAAGGAAAGCAGAACAGAGAAGAAGGGAAAGAGAAGAGAAGAAAACAAUGAGAAGAAAGGAGAAAGAGGCAAGCAACACAGGAGAACGCCAGACGAACGCAGACAAUAGAGGACUGAAAAAAAGGGCAUCGCCAGCAGACCAGGUAAGCUGUAAUUCACUUGUUACUGUUCAAGUGAAAUUUAAUUCACUUGUUACUGUUCAAGUGAAAUUUAAUUCACUUGAACAGUAACUGGGGCAAGGCAUGUGUAUUUAUUUUUAUUUUUUUGUGUUUUUUGUAUUGUAAAAAUAGAAAUCUCGUAUUUAGAAUACCCGGUUUUCAACGCAAUGUGACAAAUAUACAUAUAUAUCAAAAAAAUGUUUUCUUGUGUGUUGCAUACGGCCAAUACCCUAUCAUGUUUUGAACACAUUUUUUUUAUACAAAAAAUAUUGGAAGUUUCGAAAAUGUGUUUUCGCAUGGAUUUCUUAAACACAACAAAAAUUAUUUUCUUGCAUUUCUGGAUUUUACAACACGUUUGUAAAACUCCAAAGGGUAUUGGCCAAUAUUCCAAAAAAUAAAAAAUCUUAUUUUGGGGGGAAUUCAUAUAUUAUUCACCGUUAAUGUUUGGAUAAAGAAAUCCUAAAAGGAUUAAUAUCCAAAAUAUUUAAUGGGAAUAACUUGUUAUUAUUCACUGUUAAUAUUUGGAUAAAGAAACCCUAAGUGGUAAAUAUCCAAAAUAAUUUUCUAGGGAUAAUAAGUCAUCACACAUCCUUGAAAGAAGCCUUGAUUAUAAUCGAGGACAUUUCAAUUUUUUUACUCCACGGUUUACGAGCCGUGAGAGUUUAAAACACUAAGACAAAAAUAGGCUUUUAAAGCGCCCUAGAUUUCUAAAUUUUUGUCCCUCCUCCUUGCGAUUUACGAGUCGCAAACUCUUGAAAUACUAAGGAAAAAAUGAGCUUUUAAAGCACAUGGAAUCUCCUUGGAUUUCUAUCUUAAUAAAUUUAGUUGGAAUCAAACCUAGAAAAACUGAUGGGAUUAGAAAACACCAAUGCCAUAGCAAAUAUAAAGCAAACCAAACACCAAGCAGCUUAUCUUAGGUAGGGCAUACUAGGGGUGUUAAUACCUUUCCUUUACACAACCAGUCCCUUGCCUUAGAAUCUCUGAAAGACUAGUUAGGGUUCCUAGUGACCAAAAUACUAGGUGGCAACUCCCUUAUUCAAAAAAAAUGAAAACAAAAACUCCUAAAUCAAUCAAGGAUCGUCACGACGCCGUGCUCCGCCGCGAUCGUCACAACGUCGUGCUCCGCCGCGAGGGUGCGACAAUAAGUAUGAGGACAAAUUAUUCAAUGUUGAAUACCAACGGUUUUAAAAUAUGUAUUUAAUUUUAUAUAUUCACCACCUAAUUUUGUUUGAAUAGAUUUAAUUUUUAUAAAUAAUUUUCAUUUAAUAUGAGCUUGGAAGUUUGAAAUACAAUAAAGACAUCAGAUUUUGCAACCAAAGAAAAAAACCAUAUUUACUUAGUGUAAGCAUCCUAAAAAUCAUAAAAUAACAAAAACCAUCAAAUGAGAACAUAGUGGAAGGUCUCGAAACAUCACUAAAUAUCAGUUCAAGAGGAGCAAAAGUUUUGUAACUUGUAGGUCUUAAGGCCAAACACGAUGAUUUUCAUAAAAGACAUGUUGGAUAAUUAAAAUUAAAAAAAAUUGACGUGCAAGACACUUUUUUAUUAGACACUAAAGACUCAAAAUUCAUAAACUAGGAUACUCAAGCUGACAAUGUCUAAUAUCGUGAGAGGUAAACACACAUGUUGAUAAGAAGGCUUGAGGAAAAGAUAUUAUAAAAAACUCGAAGAUAACAUAAAAGUCAUCCUUACUCUAACUAGGAAACUGCACCUUCUUAGUUAUUAGAACCUUGACAUAGAACAUAUAGCUGUAUUGUCUUGAAAUUUGACAAGAAAGCAAAAGCUUUUUAAAGUCCUUCAUAUGUUGUACGAUGUCUUACAAUCAACCAAACUUCAAUUGAUAAGAAGAAGAUGAGAGCGCUCAUAAUUAAUUGAUCUUGUUGUUUUUAUUAUAGAAAAGAGAGGUUAGUCAUUAGAUUUGUUCUUUUGGUGAUAAUAAUAUGUGAGGAAGAGCAUAAGUAAAAACCAUCAAUGAAAGUAUACACGCCUUAACCCAAUAAGUACAACUUCAUUUACAUUCUUCAAUAUAAAAAAUUAUUAUUGAUCAACUUUAAAAAUAUAACUUGAUGGGCAUUAUAGAGGGGGAUCACAAUAGAAAGAUUAGGAGAAGUCAUGAUUUGAUUAUGAUUAGGAUCCAUAAAUAAUAAUGCUAAGAUUGUGCUCUAAUACCAAGUUAGGAACUAUAAGAGAUAUGGUUUUCUAAGUAUAAUAAGAGGCUUCAACAAGUGAUAACAGUCAUCCUCUUAUAUACAUAUGCAAUAAAAAUUUGCUAGAAAGAAAUAUAGGUCACCUGGUGAAAGCUCAACUUCCUUUAGAAUCCACAACACUAGAUUUAAGUGGAGAAAUAUGGGAAAUAAAGAAAGAUCACAACUAGAACAAAGCAACCAAAUGGAGAUAGAAGUCUAAAAGAAUAUGUUAAGCUCAUUAGCCUUAUUAAGCAAGCACUAUUAGCCAUACCAUUAGAGGAAGGGACCUACAACUAAAAGCAAACUCAGAUAGAAUUGCCACAAUACCCUAAUAUCCACUCAAUGUCAUAAAUGAUGUCAAGGCAAUAUGCUUUUGCCUACCAAACUAAGGGGUAUUAAGCACUUCUCUUGAGUUCUAAUUCAUAAUAUAUUUUUCAUAUGUAAGUACGCCACAAGUAUUGUAAGCAUAGGUUACUCCAAUUAUUGACCUUACCAUUGAAAAAACCUAGAGGGUCAAGAUGGCAAAAAAGCUUGACUCUAAAAAUUUAUCUGCAACAAAAUAAAAUUAGCUUUGAGUAAUAGAAGCUCUAGACUUUUAUAACCUAGUAAAGGCAAUUGAAAUAUGUCUUGUGCUCAACAUCGUAAUACCUAAGACAUCUAAUGUGCAUGAGUUUAUAAAUGUAGUGGAACAUAGUAUCCCAUUAUGCAUUUAUGGGUAUAUUGCAACAAAAUGGAUGAGGUAGUUCAUAACAAGAAGCUUAUAAUCUACUUUUUUCUAUGAGAGUUUAAGUGGUACAGUGCUAAGUUGAUAUAUACAUCAAGAUAAUACCAAGAUCAAGAGGUAGAGGGAUUUGAUAAAUGCCUUUUAUAAAGUAGUAUAAGUUCAAUAUAGAUGUGGCUCCAAACUACUUUAAUUUGUAAAACAUGAAAAAAAAGCUUAAAAAUCCAUUAGAGAGUACGCCCAAAGAUUACGCAAAGUGGUUGCACAGACCCAUCCUCCACUAAUUGAAAAGGAAAAGAUAACACACUUCUUAAAUACAUUUUAAGCUUCGUACUUUGAAUAUUUGGUAGGUGGUUUGACGUGGUAUUUUAUAGAUAUUGUUAUUGUGGUUGAUAAAAUUGAGUAGGCAGUAAGGGUAGGACAAAUCUCAGACCCUUCUGAAAUUAACAAAAAAAAAAGGUUUGGAAGUAAAGAAAAGACAACAAGGUGCACCAGGUGGAAACCAAUCACUUUUAAACUAAAGGUUAUUGAAAUAAUCAAUAUAGGUCCAACCAAUAAGUUAAUACCAGUAACAUUUAUCUUUAACCAUUCACUUAAACAUCAUCAAACACUAUAUCCAUCACCAAUCUAAACUCAUCUUCAUAAUUUUUUUACUUACUAACCAAACAAUUUCUUAUAAAAUCAACCAUUGUUUAACUAAUCAACAUUAGACAACCAAGUUCACCCAAACAGCGUAACAAAAAAAGACAUUACCACCUCUUUUUUUAUGAGAUAAAUGUUCAGAAAGCUCAUUAGCAUUGGAUAAAUUACUAUUACCCCACACCACCUUACCCUUACUAUUGCAAAUGUAAAACCCAAAAAAAAAUAUAAAGAGGAAUGAGAUACAUGUUUUAAAAGUAAAAGAAAUUAAAUGAAAAGAAGGUAUUAAAUAGUCAAAAGGAAAGAUUAAGAAGAGACUAGAUUUCAAAUAAGAAACAAGUGGGGUCAAAGUGAAAAUACAUGAAAUUGUAACAAUAGAUAUCCCUUUUUUUUCUUAAAGGUGGCCGAUAGCUUUGAAAAGAAAGAAAAGAGUGAAGGUUUUCUUGAAACUUCUUCAAAUUUUCUUAUAAUUCCUUAGAAAAUUACAUGAAAAGGGUUGGCUUAUGAUGAUUAAUAGAGGUCAAAGUAAUUGAGUUGUUUAAGAGAGUUCUAUGAGUUUAAGAGUGAGAACAAUGGUUAAAGAGGGAAUGAAGAAAGAGAAGGAUAAAGGGUUGAUUUCCAUCUUACAUUUCUUUUGAAUCUUUGUCAUUUCAAUGUAAGCAUUGCUUAUAUUGUGCUUAAUUUUGAUAAUUCCAUGAAUGAGAGCUUGAAUGAUGUUAUGUAUAAUUAUGGAAUUUUAAACUUGAGAAAUUUGUUGAUUUAAAUUGUAAUGUUAUGCUAAAAUCUUGUUUAUAAGCAUAAAAAAAUUAUUGGGUCAAGUGUUAAUUGAAUGGGUUGAUGAUGAAAACAACAUGAUAUUUUCUCUAGGGCUUUUGGCUAAGGAGUGAAUGAUUUAAAUUGAUGUUAAAGCAUGUUCAAAUGUAUGAAAUGGGAGUGGGUGACGAGUAAAAAAACAGAGAGGAUUUUUGGCAUAGGGAUAAAAAAAAAAAGAAUUGGUAGUUAUGGUUAAUUCCUACAAGUAAAUAAAAUUUUGAAUUCAUUAAGAAUAUUUGAAUAUAGCUUGAAUUGGUGAAAAGAUUUGAUCGUUUGACAAGAAUAUGAGAAUUGUGACUUCUUUAAGUAUAAGAUGUGGAUUGAAUGGAAAUUUAAAAUGAAACUCUUAUGAUGAGAAUAUUAAGUUUAAAAUGAUUUUUUUAUUAUGAUGAUAUAGGAGAGGUUGUAGUAGCGACACAACAUUCAAAUCUAGUUAUAUGACAAUAGACUUCAUAUGGGUGUUUAACACCUUUAUAGUUAAAGAAUUUACUAUAAGUUAAUAUGGACUGCAAUUUUCUUUAAAUGCAAGAUUUAGUUAAAAUAUGUGGAAUUGAGUUAUGAAACCAAUGUAUUGGCUUCUGAAUAGGAAUGCCAGAAUAAUUGGCAACCAUAAGAAUUAUCUAGAUUGAUUGGUAUCCAGUUAGGAUUACCGGAUUGAAUGGCUUCCGAGUAGGAAUGCUAGAAUGAUUAACAACCAUGAGGGUUAGCCGAAUUAUUUAGUAUCCAGUUGAGAUUACUGGAUUGAAUGACUUUCGAAUGGGAAUGUUGAAAGGAUUGGCAACCAUGAGGAUUAGUCAGAUUGUUUGGUAUCCAACUAAGAUUAACGAAUUUAGUGGCUUCCAAAUAAAAAUGCUAGAGUGAUAGAUCAUUGAGGGUCUUAUGGGACUUUUAUUCAAUCAAUAAGAAUGGGAUUGAAGUUGAAGGAAAGUUGCAUAAAAUAAUGUAGUUCAUGAGGAGUUUUAAAGUAAUUUAUAAUAAUAAAGAUUUUCGGUAAUGAAAUAUUGAUCUUUAUUUCAGGUUAUUUACUGGAUCGUUAUGAGGGAAUUUCAGUCAUUAUUCUUUUGUUGUAGUUGAAAGGUGGGAAUUUCUACUAAUUAUGUGCAGUUAAGCUUUUGUAUUGUAAACUCUUGUAUACAUUUUCUGUUAUGUAGCUAAAAUAUGUAAGUUUCAAAUAUUACAUUAGUAAUGGUAUGUAAAGAAGAAACUCACUUUAAAUGUUAUAUAAAUAAUUUUCAAUUAGUUCAAUGCAUCUCAUUUAUUAAUUUAUGCUAUUUGUAUUUGUUGUUAACAUGAAAUCAAUGAAAAAUGAGAGAUGAUAUAAGGAUAGGUGAAUGAAUGAGUUAGGGCUUAUUCAAGUUGAGUAUUGGUCCAAAAUGAUUGGAUCGAUUUUAUGUUAAUUUAUAUAUGUUUGUUGUAAAUAUAUGAUUAAUCUUAAAAUAAAACUAAUAUUUAAUAUACUGCACAAACUGGGGGACUAUUUAGGAUUACCAAAUGUUCGAUUGACUGAUUGAUAUGAGAAGCAAUAAAAUUGACUAUUGUUUAAUUCAAUCGAUCAAACUAGUUAACUGUUUGUUCGACCAUUAAAGGCACUGGUGAAAUUUAGUAGCAUCUGGUUAACUGAUUGGUUAUGUCAAUAUGAAUCAGUUGAUCAUUCUAACUGAUAGUGAACUAUUACUAGAAAAAAAAAUACCCUGGUAUUGCAUUAACCAUAACUUAGCAUGAUGUAAGGAAUCAAUUUAAAAAUUAGAGAUGUUACAACAAACCUAACCACAAAUAUGAAUCUCAUACUAGUGACAUUGAGCAUAACAUUGAUAAUUGUAAUACCUUUAAAUGCAAGCUCCUUCAUCUUAUUAAGGCAAGUUAGAUAAUAUUUUAUGGGAUUUUAUAUACCUAAAUUUAAACACAAACCCCUUGCUAAACCAUAUUAUUACAAGGAAGAGAGGUGUAAGCAUGAUGUCCACUAACUUUAGGUACGAUAGAAAAUGAACCACCUUGAAAAUAACAAUGAGUAAUUUGUUUGAAAUGUUAUCCCAAAUACAUUACCAAAGGGUACCCUCCAAAACAUAAGUUGUUUGGAAUCCUAAUAAGUACUGUAAGUCUUAUCAUGAGUCAGGGAACAAUAUCGAUAACUAUGAUGAAUUUCAUCAUGAUGUUGAGACCAUGAUGAUCCUAAGUAUGCUAUGAUUAAUAAUAACGAGGUUGAGAAAAAGGUUAGAAGGCUAUCUUUCCAAUGAGUAAAUGUUAACAAAGUGAAGGUAUAUAGGUACCAGCCAAAUAAGAAUGGUCCUCCAAGAAUGAUUCUUUCUAUACCAACCUACACAAUCACUAGUAACUAUCAUGAUUUGCCUUAUAAUUAUGAGUACAUCUAUCAUAAUAAAGAGCCAUACACUAUCAUACAGACUAAGAUUGGGAGUUUGAUAACAAGUGGAAUGUUUUUUACUUUAGGAGAGUUAGAAAGGCAAAUAAAAGUAAAAGGAAAAGUAUAACAAGAGUUUGUCAAUGAUGAUGAAAUAAAUAAGCUAAUAAGGGAUGAUAAAGCCACUAGUUUUCUCAAAUUGAUGAGACAUGGUGAUUAUAGUGUGGUCGACUAACUAAAGAAAACCUUAGCUUAGAUAUCCUUAGUCUCUUUUAUCUUGAGUUUAAAACCAUAUCAGGAGAUUAUAAAUAAAGCAUAUGUUCUUGAAUAUAUCAUAUCUGAUUCUAUUAAUCAUCUAGUGAGAAGAAUCCAAUCCACCAACUACAUGUAUGUCUUUGAUGAUGAACUGGGUCUAGAAGGUAUUAGCAUAAUAAUCCAUUGCAUAUCAUGGUUAAAUGCAAGGAUUAUAUUAUAGCAAAGGUUUUGAUAGAUGAUGGUUCAACUUUUAAUAUGCUUUCAAAGAACAUUUUGGACCAUUUACCGGUUGAUGCAUUAGAUAUGUGUCCAAGCAAUAUGAUGGUUUGCCAUGACAAGUGAUAUGUGACAUCCAUAUGGACUUGGUCAUUGGACCACAAUAGUUUUAUGUCAUUUUAUGAGUGAUUGUGAUGCGAACUUAAAGGGUAAGAACCCUAGAAUCUACAAUCAAGAUAGAACACGAUUAAAAAAAAAUCAAGUUGAAAAGAAUUUGACCUAAUGAUUACUUGAACCAAAUAACCGUACUUAUUGGAUGAAAAACCCCGAUUUGUUGAGUAUAACAAACUAAUAACCAAAGGUAUAAGAUUAAAAACUAGAUGUUUUGAUUAUAAUGAACAAAUAACUAAAGGUAUAAGGAUUAAUGCCAUAAAGAACUAAUCUUUGAUAAGUUCUAAAGGUUCUAUGAAGAACUAAGAGUAAAAAGAGACUCUCCCACACAAGUUUUAUUUUUGAAUAAUCAAUCCAUCUCCCUAAAUACAAGAUAAAUAACCUUAUUUAUAAUAGGUAAAACAUCUUAAAUAAGGCUGAAAAAUUAACAAAAUAGGAAAAAUAAAAUAGGAAAAAUAAUCCUAAAUAAACUAGGAAAAUAUUGCAAAUCCCAAAUAGUAAUUUUUAGGCUAUAUCGCAAGGCCUUCUCGAUGCCUAAUCUCUACUAAAUUUCAAACUUAUACGAAACAAAGCCUUUUAAUCCUCUAGAAAAAUACUAGCUUGAUUUAAUGAUUGAAUAAAAAGUUAUGCCCAUUAACAUAAAACUAUACAUUAGAAAAAUAAGCUCAAUCCACAUGUAAGUAGGAAAACAAGUUGAAUCCACAAUUCUCGUAGGAAAUAAGACUUAAAUUCCUUGAAUUAGCCUAUUGGAUGCCUCUUUAAUCUUCUUAGCUCCUAACCUUGUAAUAAACCUAAAUGACACAUGUAAUGAAUCUUGUGGUGUUACUUGAUGAUUCUCAUCAUUUUUUCUCUCCUCAAAAGGAUUCGGUCACAAAUCAUCACCUUUCUUUGAUGUUGACUCGUUUUUGGAAAACAUAUUUGAAAGCUAUAAAAUAUAUUAGUAAUAAAAACCACAUACUCUCUUAUGUAUUUGCACCUAAAGAUAUGUCACUUCACUCAUGUUCCACUUUUAACUUGGCUUUUUUCAAUUUUAUUCUCACACCCUCUUGCUUUUUAUCACUCUUAACUAUCCUAUUUAGUUUUUUUUAUUGAAUCAAAAAAAGUCACCUUAUGUAGUUUAAUCAAUUAAUGCAACAAGGCAAGAUUUGAAUCAACCUGAUUUUGUGAUUUGAUCGUCCUUCUAUCUAUCUCUCUCUCUCUCUCUCUCUCUCUCUCUCUAUAUAUAUAUAUAUAUAUAUAUAUAUAUAUAUAUUGCAUAAUACUAAAUUGAUAUAAAACUUUUCCAUUUUUAUCAAUGAAAUUGCAAACUGAAAAACUAGGAUAAAGUUGAAACUAACAAAGGAUACAUGAUUCAAAACAUGAAAAAAAAAAAAAUUUAAAGAUAUAUAGAUAUAUAAAACUUGAUUUUAGAGCCAAGCUUUAAUAUCAACUUAUAUGAACUCGGAGGGUAAGAACCUUAGAACCCAUAAUACUGAGAUUUCUUUGUAAUUUCUAUUUAUGGUUGAAACCAAAUUUAUCAUUUUUUUUUCUUUUCAUCUUGCUUUUUUAUAUAUAAUUAAUAAAAAUGCAACACUAAGCUAAACUAGAGAACAAACUGAAAUUCAAGACACAAGAACUAUGGUUCAACAAUUUUAAAAGAACUGAACCUAACAAAGAACUUGAUCUUUUUAUUCCUAGUGUUGUUAUUUAUUUGUUAUAGGAUUUUAAGGAUGUGUUUUUUGACGAUGUUCCUAGUGGUUUGCCACUAUUAAGGGGAAUAGAAUAUCAAAUUGAUCUUGUAUCCUGAGCUGCGAUUUCUAAUCAACCAGCCUAUAAAAGUAAUCCCGAUGAGACAAAAGAUCUUCUAGGACAAGUUAAGGAGAUGAUGUCUAAAGGGUAUAUAAGAAAGAGCAUAAGUUCAUGAGUAAUUAUCGUAGUACUUCUUCCUAAAAAUAAUGGAUGUUAGAGGAUGUAUGUUGAUUGUUGUACUAUCAACAACAUUACAAUAAAGUAUAAACAUCUUAUUUCUAGGCUAGAUGAUAUGUUAGAUGAAUUGCAUGGUUCAUAGUUUUUUACUAAGAAUAAUUUGAAAAGUGGAUAUUAUCAUAUUAGAGUGAAAAAAAAAAGAUGAAUGAAAAAUUGCUUUUAAGACUAAAUAUGAUUUGUAUGAAUAGUUAAUCAUAUUGUUUGGUCUUACUAAUGUUCCUAGUACAUUUAUAAGAUUGAUGAAUCAUGUUUUGCAUGUAUUUAUAAGCAAGUUUGUUGUUUAUUUUGAUGAUAUCUCAGUAUAUAGUAAAAGUAUAGAUGAGCAUAUUAAAAAAUUGUUUUAUAUGUUUAAUUAUUUAAGAAAAGAAAAACCAUAUUUUAAUUUAAGGAAGUGUACUUUUUUCAAGUAAAAAUUAUGUUUCUUAGAUAUGUUAGUGCAAAAGGUAUAGAGAUGGGUGAGAAAAAUGUGAAGACUAUCCAAUAAUGGCCCACACUUAAAUCUAUUACUAAGGUAAGAUGCUUUUAUAGUUUGACUAGUUUGUAUAAGAGAUUUGUUAAGGAUUUUAGCACAUUAGCCUCACCGAAGUUGUUAAGAAAUCUAUUUGGUUUAAAUAAGAUAUUGAAUAACAAAAUGCAUUUUAUUUUAUUAAAGAAAGGCUUUGUUCGAAUCUUUAUUAAAAUUACCUAACUUUUCUAAAAAAUUUAAGAUCGAGUGUGAUGCCUAAAAAGAGAUAUUGAAGCUGUUUUAAUAUAAUAAAAAAGUGACUAAUUGUCUAUUUCAGUGAAAAGUUUAAUAGAGUGGUAUCAAAUUCCUCAAUUUAUAACAAGGAGCUUUAUGCAUUGAUAAGGAUUUUGAAGACUUGACAACAUUACUUAUAGCUUGAAGAAUUUGUUAUUCAUUCAGAUUAUGAGUCACUGAAGCACUUAAAGGGAUAAUAUAAAUUCAAUAAGAGGCAUGCUAGGUGGGUAGAGUUCAUCAAAACCCUUCCAUAUGUUAUUACAUACAAGUAAAGUGAGGAUAAUAUAGUGGUUCUUACAUUAUCUAGGAGUUACGUCUUUCUAUCUACUUUAAAUGUGAAAUUAUUAAGCUUUGACUAUGUUAAAGAUUUGUAUGCCAAUGAUAGUAAUUUUGCUAAUGUGUAUUAAAUUGGUAAGAAGUCAGCUUAUAGUAAGUUUUAUAAACUUGAUGUUUAUUUAUUUAAAGAAAAUAAAUUUUGUGUGCUUGAUAGUUUUAUGUGUGAAUAAACUUUGGGUUUAUUUUCCUAAAUUUGCGAUGUUAGUGAAAGUUUUAGUUUGUAAAUUAGAUAUAAAAAAAAAUUAUUUGAGUGUGUUUGUGAUUUUAAUGAAAUUUGUUUUUAUUUUUAUUGUUGAAAAAAUAAACAUAAUAUAAUGAAUGUGAUUUGGCACAUGCAAGAUUGGGAAUGUGCUGAGGAGCAGGUCUAUAGAGGACUUCAUGUUCUGAGGUAAAGUGAUUGAUGCCAAAUAAGGUGAAAUUUCCUUCGUGAAAUGUGGUUGAUUCUUGUAAAAUAAGUUGUUAAUUAUUAUUUUUUUGUUUACAUGUUGAAUUGAUUAAAAAAUAAUUGGUUAGAAUUGGUAAAUUUGAAAUUAAUAAUUAAAUGAAGUGAAUGAUGAAUUAUUGAUGAAGUUAAAAAUUGUUGGUAAUGUUUAGAUUAUUGAUGAAGUUAAAAAUUGUUAGUAAUGUUUAGAUUUUGUUAUGUAAUUUUGAUUUCAAGAGUUGAUGAAGUUGAAAUUGGAAAUUAAAUAGUUUAGCAAAAUGUUUUUUAGAAUUUAUAUACACAUUGUAUUUUUCAUGUAUGUUAAAAAUAUAUUUUUAACAAUUUUAAAAGAUGUUUGAAGUGUUUUGUAAUAAUAAUGAUAAUAAUACUCAUUAAAAAAAUAAUAAUUGAAAAGUUUUAUAUUAAAACAAAAAAUAAUAGUGAUAUUUUUCUAAUACAAUAAAAAUAUAUUUAAAAGUACAGUUACUUUUUAAAAAAUUAUUUAUUUAAAAAUAUAAUUAAAUAAUAUUUUUUUAAAAAAAUUAUUUAUAACAUCAAUAUAAAAUAAUUUAAAAAUAUAAAUAAAAUAUUUUUUUUUAUAAAAUAUUUUUUGAAACGAAAUUCCAAAAAUAUAUAAUUAAGAAAGGGAUUGACGACAUCAUUUGGCUUUCCUCAAAAUAUAACACGACAACAGACUAGAGAAUAGAAGAGCUCUGUCUUCGUUACUCCUCUUUCAGGCGAAAACCUAAUCCCCAAAUAAUCUUCUGAUUUGAUUUCUCAAAACUCAGUCAAAUCAAAUCAAUAAAAAAAUGGUGUUGGCAGAGUUAGGGGGGAGUAUAUCCCGAGCAAUCCAGCAGAUGAGCAAUGCUACAAUCAUCGACGAGAAAGCAUUAAACGAUUGCUUGAACGAGAUCACUCGCGCUCUUCUUCAAUCCGAUGUUCAAUUCAAGCUUGUUCGUGAUAUGCAAACCAAUAUCAAGAAAAUCGUCAAUCUUGACGAUCUCGCCGCCGGUCACAACAAGCGCAAAAUCAUCCAGCAAGUAACCACCACCUUUUUUCUUACAAAUUUUUUCAAUGUUCAAUCUUUCUUUUCCUUUUUUUUUUUUAAAUCCCGAAUUAAUUCAAUUUAAUUAUUAAUAAUAAUAAUAAUAAUAAUUCAGGCAAUAUUCAACGAGCUGUGCAAAAUGUUGGACCCAGGAAAGCCAUCUUUUACUCCAAAGAAAGGAAAAACUAGUGUUGUUAUGUUUGUUGGUUUACAAGGUAUUUCUAUUUUCUUGGACUGAUUUUUAUAGUUUUUUAUUUAUUUAUAAAAAUAAAACAGGAGUAAUGAAGUUUUUUUAUAUGUAUAAUUUAGGGUCGGGGAAAACAACAACAUGUACGAAAUAUGCGUAUUAUCACCAGAAGAAAGGGUGGAAACCAGCGCUAGUUUGCGCUGAUACUUUCAGAGCUGGUGCUUUUGAUCAGCUGAAACAGAAUGCUACUAAAGCUAAGAUUCCAUUCUAUGGAAGGUAGGUAGGUAGUGAUAGUUAAUAAUUGUAAGUUAGUGAAUUCAAUGCCUUGUUGUUAUGAAUUGAAAAUGGUUGGAAUGCAAAUUAUUGUUUUGUUGGUGUGUACAGCUAUAUGGAAUCGGAUCCUGUUAAAAUUGCUGUGGAAGGUGUGGAGAGAUUCAAGAAGGAAAAUUGUGAUCUUAUAAUUGUUGACACUAGUGGGCGGCAUAAACAGGAAGUUGCGCUUUUUGAAGAAAUGCGACAAGUUGCUGAAGCAACGGUAUUUUUCUUUUUUUGUUAGUGGUUUUACAUGAUCUGAUUACCACGCAAGUAGUCACUGAAUGUCAUUGGCACUAAAAAAAAUGUUUCUUUUCUGUUUUGACACUUCCAGAAACCGGAUCUUGUUAUAUUUGUCAUGGAUAGUAGUAUUGGUCAAGCUGCAUUUGAUCAGGCUCAAGCAUUUAAGCAAAGUGUUGCAGUUGGAGCUGUGAUUGUUACCAAAAUGGAUGGUCAUGCUAAGGGUGGUGGUGCACUUAGUGCGUGAGUAUUUCUUGCAGUUUUGUACUCACUCACUCUAUAUUCAUGGUUUGAUUAAGUGUGUUGAGGAAAGAUCUUACACCAAUAAAGCUGGCAUUUAUUUUUAUUUUUUUGAUAAUGAAGAUAUCUUAUCACCUUCGUUCUAUACAGGAUUAACUUCCAUAUACCUUUAAGUUGAUAUUCUGAAGUUGCUGCAUUUGGGAUUUUUUAUUUUCUUUUGCAUGUAUUUCUUUCAUGUGUCUAUGUCAUGUCCUUUCCAGUUGUUGGAAUGAAAUAUAGGUAUUUUUGUUGGGACAUUGAUACCUAACUAAUGGAAUGCUUACAAUAUAGCCAUUUCCCGAUAAAAUAAUCAUGUCAAUGUUGGUCUAAAUUAUCUUUCCUUCAUGUUUGGCUGUAUUUAACAGAAGCACAAAAAAAGACUUUGCUUUUGGAUCACCAACAUAUAUUUCUUGAUACUAAGCUUCCUUUUGUUUAAAUAUUUAUACUAAUUGUUUUAGUACAAUGUGUGCAGUGUUGCAGCAACAAAGAGUCCUGUCAUUUUUAUUGGCACAGGAGAGCAUAUGGAUGAGUUUGAAGUCUUCGAUGUUAAACCUUUUGUUAGUCGGCUUUUAGGUAUGCACCUCCCUUCUUUCAGUUUGACACCUUUGCUCUGAUGAUGUUAUUCUGCAUUUGAAAUUUGUUUGGGUGCUCAUGAUGCUUAAAGUCCUUCCAUAAAAAUGCUUUUCCUACCAGGUAUGGGUGAUUGGUCUGGUUUCAUGGACAAAAUCCAUGAGGUUGUUCCUAUGGAUCAACAACCAGAGCUUCUGCAAAAACUUUCUGAAGGGAACUUUACCUUGAGGAUUAUGUAUGAACAAUUCCAGAAUCUACUAAAAAUGGGUCCCAUUGGGCAGGUUCUCAUUGAACUCCCCUGUUAAUCUUUGUUACGUGGUGUUCUAUUUUGAUUAUUUUUAUCAGUUGUGUCUAUGGUAAGGGAAAAAAAUGUUUUCUUAUCAAUAACUUCUUUGUGACUGCCAUCAUAUCUAAUGUAAGUGCUAGUUUGUGGAUAGUUGAAUAACAUUUUCCCCUUCACAUGUUCAGAAAAAAUCUACCAUCUUAGGAGAGUUUCUAUUUUGUUAUUUCUCAUUCUGGCUUGAUUCUAAUAUGAAUUACAGUUUGUAAUUGCCUGCUCUUUUGUCAAGUAGUAGACUGAAAUGUUUGAAAGCAUUAGGUAUUUAUUGCCUAGGAUAUUGUCCAAUUCAUUUAGUUCCACAAUUAAACUUUUGUGGAUCAGAAAUUCUUUAUUAGAUAACUUGUUAACUACUAUCAGAUUAAACUCCCAACUUUUUCUUCCUGUCACUUCUCUCAGUGCUGUAGUCCAAUCUCUCACAAGUCACCAGUUCCUGUGAACUUUAGCAGAGCCUCUGAACUUUGUUUUGGCAGAAAUAUACUUGUGUAGAGAUAUGUCCUGGACUUUUUAUCUUCUAAUCUCUGAUAUUCACAGGAAAUCAAUAAGAUUAACCCAAUAUGCAAUUAAUGGAUGAGCUUUUUUCUACAAGAAAAUGCUCUUGCAUCAUGUUCUUAAAAUGAUACAAGUUAUACCCAAGUUAGAUACAAGAAUCUGACACUGGAAACUGGAGGUAGCUUCGAUAGCAAUACAUUUAGGCCUUCCCUAUUUUUUCUCACAUGGGAAAACUUUUAACAAAAAAAAAAGGGAAGUGAUAUCUCUUAUGCAUUUCUUAUCCAAUUUGAUUGCUGCUUUAGAUACAGGUCUGAUUUGAUUUGUUGCUAUCCACACUUUAACUUGUUUGACUACUAUACCUCAAAGAAUGAAAAUGAGAGAAGCUAGUGAGAGGGAGGCAAAUGGUGCAGAAAAAACUGAAGAAAACAGAGAGAGAGAGAGAGAGCUUUUAAUCUGUCCCGAAUUAGUUUUAUACAGUUGCAUGAACUCCAUUUUUUUGCAUGAACAAUUCAUGACACACUAAGUUGAACCAUCCAAUUAAAUUAGUUGGGCUGAGCAAUAAACAAUAGUACCAUUCAAGGUAAUAAAGGCUUGAGUAUAGUGAUGUUACUGUCCAUGCUGACUGAAAUGCUUCUCUCUCCCUCAACCCUUUCUCCCCUUCUUCCAUUUAUUUGAGUUGCGACUUUCAGCUUAUUAUUCCUUUGGUCUCCUUGUGUAGGUGUUUUCAAUGCUUCCUGGAUUUAGUUCUGAAUUAAUGCCAAAAGGUCGUGAAAAGGAAAGCCAGGCAAAGAUUAAGCGCUAUAUGACCAUGAUGGAUUCAAUGACUAAUGAAGGCAAGUAAUGCAAUUGAUAUAUUUAUGUCAAGGAUGUUGUCUCUUGGACAUUGAAAACAUAAUUGUUGAUUGAAGCUAUGGGGUUUCUUAUCUAAUAUCUAUUGCUGCUGAUCUUUUACAGAGUUGGAUAGUUCAAAUCCAAAGCUUAUGAAUGAGUCACGUAUUAUGAGGAUAGCACGGGGUUCAGGCCGUUCAGUUAGAGAUGUAAUGGAAAUGUUGGAAGAGUACAAACGACUUGCUAAGAUCUGGAGCAAAAUGAAGGGACUUAAGAUUCCAAAGAAGGGUGAAAUGAGUGCCCUUUCUAGAAACAUGAAUGCACAACACAUGAGCAAAGUUCUCCCACCACAGAUGUUGAAGCAGAUUGGUGGUAUGGGUGGCUUGCAAAAUUUGAUGAAGCAAAUGGGUUCUGCCAAGGACAUGAUGGGCAUGUUUGGAGGUGGGGACAAGUAAAUGAGUGAUUAGAAGUUUAGGAAACUAUAAAUGAGUUAAAUUGGUUUUUAGCAUUGCCUGGCUGGAUAGGAAGAGGUAUGGAAUGGUUUAGUAGGGAAAUGGUGCCUCCAACAGUUUUUAGCAGACAUUCUUGAAAGAUUAAGGCCUUUGACUCAAUUCGUUUUAUUUUUCUCCUCCCUUUUUCUGAAACAGCGGUGCAGUCUUGUAACAAUAACUGUGGCUGUCAAAGUCUUUCCUGUUUUAUUUGUAUUUAUUCAAGGCGGGUGAAAAAAUAGAUGUCAUGUCUAAGCAUAAAAGGAUGUAGAGCUAAAGAUGUGGAUUUUGCAUAAUAAAUUGGGCUUUUUUUCUUGUCAGAGUUCCAUUCGAAGAUGCUUCGUGAGAAUUUUGCUUUCUCACUAUUUCUUGAUAUUUGCUUUACUUCUUGCCCAUAUUAUCUUCAUUUCAUCUGCAAUCCUUACUUAUAAGUUGACGGAUUAAUCUUUUGCACCUAUAAAUAUUGCCAGAGGCUGUUUCUCAGGACUGUGAUAGGAAGAACCUUCGCCAAAAAUCACCUAUAAAUAUUGCCAGAGGCUGUUAUGGAGUCUAUAUAUGUAUGUCUUGCCUGUUUUGAUUACGUGAAAAUGGCAAGCCUCUCCUUCCUUCCAUGUCACAUUAACAAAAAUCCAAAAACCUAAAUGAGAUGAGUACUGUGUAAAAAGGUUUUUGCACUUCUCAACAAAAAACCAAUUACCUUGCUUAUGGUGGUAACACGGUUUUUUUCUCGUAACUCCUUGAUUAUUAUUAUAUUGAUUUAAAUAAAAAAAAAUUUUAAUUUUUUUUAGUAUAUUAAAAUGAUUUAAAUGCUCUUCAAAGCAAAAAGAAACACCUAAACUAAUUUUUAGAGGCUUUUUAGUAUUUCUUUUUUCUCUUUUUAGGUGUUUUUGUUUUUUCAGUUUGGUAUUAUUUUUGUUAUAAUCAAGUUCACUUAGAGGUGAAUUGGUAAUUUAUUUAAAAUAAAUAUUAUUAAAAGAAGCAUGGAUGACUCCCACGCCUUUCGAUCAGCACGUGUAGUAUUAUUCGGUGGUUAUACACCGCCUUCCACAGCAGCGUUGGAAGCGUCCCGACGUGGUCUUCAUGGUGGUCAUGGCGUUGGGCUUCGUUGAAUUUUUUUAUUCUCCUCUCUCUUUUAUCUCUAAUAUCCUUGUCAAAAUACAAAGGUGUUUGAUAAUUUGUUUUCUUGUAUCCAAUUUGAUUCUUAUUUUUUUAUUUGUAUUUGUUUUAUUUUUUAUUUGGUUUUUUUAUUUUAUUUUUCAAUUUUAUCCAUGGUCAUUUGAUUUCAUAUAGUUUAUAAAUUAAACUUAUUCCUUAUUUUUUUGAUUAUUUUCUUUUAGCCUUUUUCUAAUUAGAUUUUGUUCUCAAUUUCAUUACUCAAUAUUUUGUUAAUUGAGGAUUUUGCUUCCUUUUUUUUUUAGACUCAUAUUCUAAAUCGCGAGUUUUGAAAGUUAACACGAGUUGAUUUUAGUCUUUUUUAGGUCCUUUUUAUUUAUUUUUUAUUUUCAUCCUUUAAUAUUUGAUUUAUUAGAAAUUGUCCUUCAUGCUUCUUUUUUUCACUUUUAUUUUUCUUAGUUUAUCCCAAUCCUAUAUCAUGGUUGUUGGAUUAGUGAGUUAACCCGGGUUAAUUUGGAUUUUUUUUGUUGCUUUUUUAAAUUAAUUUUUUUUAGUUUUGCCCUUUAAUAUUAAGUUAUUUAGUAAUUAAACUCAAUAAUUUUAUUUAAUUUGUUUUUAACGAGAUUACCUUAGCAUCACGAACAAGUUGCACAUUUAACAUGCUAUCCAUUUAUACAGCUCCGAAUGGUACUUUUCCAAGAGAUUUCUCUCACAAAAGACUUGAACCAAGAAAGUUAAUGUCAAAGCAAACUUAGUAAACAAAAAUUACCUUCCAAAAAAUUGUCGUAAUGCAAGUUUUCAUGCCAAAGAGGUGACAGGUAGCGUUCAAACCAAGUCCUUUCAACGUGAGAGACUAGGGAUCAAAUAAGACAAUUGAACAAACAUGCAACCCUGAUACUGUGUUGUCAGCACCUUUUAUUAAAAACAAAUUUCCUUGGAUUCCUUACAAUUUCUUUUUAUUCCUUUAUUAUAAAGAAACUCUAAAAAGUAUGGGUUUUCACUAUAGUAAUUUACAUUGAAAAUCUCAUUUUAUCCUUUUAAAAACCAUCAAAUUGACUAGUUAUUUUGGGGUAAAAUAGUAUUUUUUAUAAGGAUACAUUUGCAUUGUCAAAUUCAAUUGGGUCAAAUUGAUUUUUUUUACAUUAUUUGAGAACCGUGCAAUUGCACGACUAAAAUAACAUUUCAAGCAAAAAAUAAUGCACAUGUUUUUUUUGUCUUUUACUCUUUUUUUUAUAUAUAUAUUCACGUUAACUAAGAGGUAAUUUUGUCUUUAUGUAAAUAUAAAAUAUUAAUAAAAAAAGUUGGUUUUUAUACAUAAUGAAAUGACUUAACUAUCAUUGAGAUCAAAAAAUGUAAAGCUUUUUUGCAAGGGCUAUUUGUCUUUUACACUUGGUUUUUUUUGUUAUACUCAAGAUAAUUUGAUCUUUUUAAAAUAUGAAAUAUUAAUAAAAAAAAGGUGGCUAGGGUGUCACUCACACGCCAAUGAGUGGAUGUUGGUCGCAUCAUAUGGACAAUGCAUGUUGCAUCGUUUAAUAGUCAAACACUGCCUUCUUCGAUGGUGUUGAAAGCAUGUUGACACCAUCUUCCUAGUGAUAUGGUGCGUAUGUAACGUGGCACAAUGUUUGGCUCUGGUGGACUUUUUUCUUCUUUUCCCUUUUUUAUCUCUCUUUUUUUGUCAAAGUAUGAAGGUGUCAUAUCAUUUAUUUUUUAUAUUUAAUUUGGUCCUUAUUUUUUUAUCUUUUUUUUAUUAAUUUUGUUUUUCAAUUUUCCCCAUCAUCAUUGAUUUUUAUUGGUUCCUUUGUAAAAUUGAUUUAUUUUUCAGUUUCAUCCUUCAACAUUUGAUUUUUUAGAAUUGGUCUUCAUGCUUCUUCUUUUUUCAAUUUCUUUUUUGUGGGGUUAUCUCAAUCCUAUACUCAUGAUCGCAGAGUUAGCGGGUUAACUCAUAUCUAUUUUUUCUUUUUUUUCUAAAUUAAUUUUUUUUUCAAUUUCAUCACUCAAUAUAUUUUUAUUGAGAAUUUUUCUUCAUUGUUUUUUAGGUAUGCCUUCUAUACAGUCAAUCUCAGCCUCAUGAUCAUGGUCACAAGUUUUAAAUGUUAACACGAGUUAACUUUGGUUUUUUUCUAGGUUUUUUUUUCAAUUUCAUCCUUCAACAUUUGAUUUUUUAGAAUUGAUUUUCAUGCUUUUGUUUUUAUUUUCCUUUAUAUAGAGCUAUCCUAGUCUUGUUUUCAUGGUCGCGGGGUUAGCGGGUUGACCAAUAUCUUUUUUUCAUUGCUUUUGUUUUUUUUAGUUUCAUCAUUCAACAUUGAGUUGUUUGAUAGUUAAGUUUCUUAGUUUUAUUCAAUUUGUUUUUUUUAAUGAUUUGUUUUAUCUUUAUUGGCAAAGAUAAUUGUUUGAUUAAAUAAAAAUUUUAUUCUAAAAAACAAAAUUAUUAAACGCAAGUACAUAGGUGAUGUUACAAGAUCAAAUAUUUUAAUCUUAAUUAUGUUUUGAUCAAAUAUCGAUUUAUUUAAUUAAAUGUGUGUAUAGGUAUUUUGAUUUAUAAUUGAAAUUGUUUUAUAUCAAAAAACACGUUAGAAAAGUUUGUAUAUUUAUUUUUUUACUGAAAAAAAAAUUACUCAACUUAUGCCGAAACACAAAUCAAAUAGUUAGUUUUGAUAAUUAUGCAUCUUAGUCCAAAACUUAAUUUUCUUUACAUAUCAAUCCAUGAGAAAACAACUUAGGACAAAUAAACAAUUUUGUUGACCACAAUCCAAUAAUAAAAAAAUCAUUCUUGGAGUCAAUAACUUCAUCUUUUUUAGAGGAGUUCAGUGACAACGUUUCUUGGUAAACAUGCUUGAAAAGUAGAUUGAGCUCUUAUAAAGUUUUUAAAUUUUGUUGUUUUUACUAUUUUAAGUGAUUUUUGAGUGUUUUAGAUUUGAAAAUGGGUUUAUCAAAGUUGUUAGGGUAUUUUCAGGUGAAAGGAGUUGGAAAAUAGGUUUUUAACAUCUAAAAACUUGGACUCUGAUUUUUCAACUAUUUCCAUGGUGUUCAAGGAGCUAGGUCAAGAGAUCUCUGUGUUAAUCUCUGAGAUUAAUAAUGUUGCCAAAGAGUUUCUUAUAACAACGCACUAGCAAUAUUCUUAUAUUUUUUAAUAUAUUUGCAUUGAAAUUAUUAUUUUUUUUUUAAAUCAAGAUUUGCUUUUAUAUUAUGGUAAGAUGUUGUCCAAAAAAACAAAAUUUCUAAUACAAAAUUACCAAAAACAAUUGAUCACGUUAAUAGAUAAAGAGGUUUUAUAUAGCACAAUUUUUUUUUAAUGUUUGUUCUUAUUGUUUUUUUUUUUUUAUUAAAUGAAUGACAUAGAAGAAUAAAAAAAAUAGAGGUAACAAAUAUUAAUAAAAAAAAUAAAAGGUAUACUAGCAAUUUAUUUUUUUUCAAGAAAAUCCAAAUUAUUAAUCUUUUUAUAUAUAAAAAAUGUCGCUAUAUAAAUAAAUAAACAAAACUUUAAAAGCUCACUGUAGAACAUGGUCAGUUGUCUUGAUCUAGUCUUUUGUUAAUAUUAAUCUCUUUUUUAAAAUUUAUUUGCACAUAGAAACAUCGAUCAGCAAAUCGAGACCAGCAAACUAGCAAUAACUAAUGAAGGGCUUGGUUUCACAGCAAAUCGAGACCUAUUUCCCCCCUGAAUUUGCCUAAAAUAUCAUCUCUCAGAGGCAUUGAAAGAAAACUAACAAAUUGCAUUAUUUAUUAAGAAAAAUGUCGCAGGUAACGCCAACAUCUCCAACUUUAUCAUCACUGUUGUAUUCAAUUUCACGCCUACAUUUUCUCAACUAUUAUAUAUCAUCAGGUUUGUGCAUAUACGCAUCAAGUUCACAGUCAAAGUCUGAUUCUCUCCAUAACACGAUCAGGAGAAAAAUGCCGAGGUUUCAAGUCGUCAAACACCAUGAUCUCAAAAACAAGCUGUCCUACUCAUGUUGCUCACAAAGGUCAGGCAUCUUCAACAACUCUUUGCAUGUUUUGUAUCUUGUCUCAUGCCAGAGUUUCUUGCGGAGAACUUCAGAAAGACUAAAAUCGGAUGCAAAUUUUUAGUUCGGGAUAGGUACACAGACAGAGAUAUCUCGGGGUGAAUAGGAUCAAUUCUUAACCAAAUUAUCAUACUCAACAGACAACCAACCAAACGAUAAUCACAUAUUAGCAACUACAAAUCGAGAUUUGUUUAACUUUUCAUUGAAUACAUUCUCAAUUGGCUUUCAAGAAAAGAUCUUUCUUACCACUAACAUCUUCUACUGGGUCGAGAGCAUGGGAGCCGAGAGAGGGGAAAUUUGAGUUCUUGGGAACAAAAAUGGUGUCUUUAAAUUCUAUAAUUAUUAUAUAUACAGUCCCACAAUCUGAGAUCAAAAGUUCAAAUUAUCAUACUCAACAGACAACCAACCAAACGAUAAUCACAUAUUAGCAACUACAAAUCGAGAUUUGUUUAACUUUUCAUUGAAUACAUUCUCAAUUGGCUUUCAAGAAAAGAUCUUUCUUACCACUAACAUCUUCUACUGGGUCGAGAGCAUGGGAGCCGAGAGAGGGGAAAUUUGAGUUCUUGGGAACAAAAAUGGUGUCUUUAAAUUCUAUAAUUAUUAUAUAUACAGUCCCACAAUCUGAGAUCAAAAGUUCAAAUUGCUAGUACAUGAAAAGAUGAGUUAAAUAGAGCAACAAGAAAAUUUCAGCAAUUGCCCAUUUCAAGUCGCCAACAAAAAGGUUUCCAUUACACUAUUUUCCUAUGAGCAUGAACAGACCAAAUACAUAUUCCAUGGGCCGUAAUCAGAUAUUAUUGCAAAAGACAAUUCUUUCUCCAUUCUAUUGCUGCCAGUCCUAAGAAAUACGUAUCAUUGUAAAAUUCAAGGGCAAAAAAUGAACACAAAGGCCAACACAUACCAGUGAGAUAUCCUGAAAGCCACCAAUUACAGCAGCUGCAGAUCAUCGGAUUCUUUAGUAUCUGAGAAAACCCGGUGCCAUUUUAACUUUAAUAAUACUAAACUAGCACAUACUAAACCAAAAUUGCACCAGAAAAAUAAGAACUUUCCCACACUUCAAUACCCUCAACAUUUUCCCUACUAACAAACAACCUAUCUCCGCCACCUUCAAUUUUCCUUAUCACCCCUCUGUUUGAAUCCUCCACUUUAUCCACAAAAUUUCUCCUAUACAACCCCUCUCCAACUCCGUUAUUCUCUUUUGACCAAACCUCUAAACUCCCAUCUCUUCCUACAAAAACCUGGCUCUUGUAACAAUGUAGCACACUACUACUUGCACCACCAAUAAAUCUCAUGCUAGGGUUCUUCUCGUUAAUAUAGACCCACGGAUCAUCCCCUAACUUGCGCAAAUCUGCCACUGCUAAAUCACCAGACUUCGAGCAGACUUUAAACAACGUCAACCCACCCACGUCAACGUCCACGUCCGCAAACGAAUCUCCGAACCUGCUGCUUCGUCCCGAACCUGGCUCACUCGUCUCCCAAAUCACCUCCCCAUUCCGUGGGUCCCACAUUCUAAUAUAUCCUGAAUAACCAAACGCCCCACAUGUAACCGCCGAUCCGAUUAAUGCGCCGGUCUCCGGAAGCCACGUCAGCUUCCCGGGGACCGUGUUCUUGGAAGCGCCCCCCGAUUGUCUCGUGAUCUCUGAUGAGAUCUGAAGCGUUGAUUUGUCUAUUGAUAGUAUGCAGUUCUCUCUGUGUGGACAGUCAAAGGAGGCAAAGAUUUGACUUGAU